RNAcentral lists this long non-coding RNA (72253 nucleotides) under Citrus x clementina. RNAcentral describes it as "Citrus clementina (C. clementina) long non-coding RNA (CCLE_LNC002393)". Lineage: Eukaryota; Viridiplantae; Streptophyta; Magnoliopsida; Sapindales; Rutaceae. The record is from RNAcentral.
CCAGAUUGAUAGUAACUCAAAUCUCCAGAUAUCCGAAGAGUCUGAACACUAGGUAGUCUGCCCAAUAUAUCAGGAGUACAACUACUAGGGUUUAAAGCUGAUAUGAAAAUGAGAUUUUUCAGAGAGCUAGAAUAAUUUUUUGGAGGUGCGGGCAGAGUGAUAGAACCAAAGUUUAGAUGCAUGAGUUUUUGCAUCAUCCAAAUAUCCUCUGGUGACUGAUCUAUGUAGCUAGAUGGCAUUUCUAGUGUUUCAAGGUUUAAAAGGGUGCAUAGCAGUGAAGGAAGGCAUUUGGGCGAAGGGAUAUUCAAUUUCAAAUACUUCAAAAGGAAUGAAUUUUCUAAUCCGGGUGGAUAUUGGUCCAGGACUGCAGAACCCAUGUUCAAUACCCGAAGGUAUUUGAACCUUUUAAAAAAAUUCUCGCAAUCUUUCGAAUUAAGAUGAUUGCUUUUUGAACUGUGAUUCAGAAAAGAAGUUUCUGCAGAACCCAUGUUAGAAUGUUUCAAAGAAAAGAAGUCAAUCUGAUUACCCAAAAUGAUGUACCGUUUAACAUUUUCCGGUGGUUCAUCUUCCAUGUCAAGCAUCCAGACAAAUCCCGUCUUCUCUGCCACCAAUAACAAUGAAUAAUAUACAAUACUUGGAACAUAACACGCUUUAAUCGUGCCUCCGGCGCUUCUCUUACUCACUUGAAUGAAGCCGCGAUGGAUUAGUUCUUUCAAGUAAUGUUCGGCCGUCUCCUCACUGUUGUAUGGUAUGAAACCUUCAGCUACCCAUAACUGAUAUAAUUGCCUCGUGGAUAUCUCAAUACUUGGAGGGAAGACACACAAAUAGAUGCAGCAGACUUUCAAGUGAAAAGGUAACUCCAUCACAGAGAAAGUUUGUCUCCAUACUGUCGGAAUCGCUUCGCCUUGAAGAUAAUUUCCUAAUGGCAUACUUCCAUAGUGUAGGACGAAAAAUUGCCAGGCUUCAAGCUUUAAUCUGAUCAAUGGUCCUCCAAUGAGCACCGAAUCAAGCCGAAUCUUCUCUCCGUUUUCCAUUUUCAGCGACGUAAGGAGUUCUGGUUCAGUGACCAAUAUCAAUACUCUGCUUCCAUUCUCAUUAUCAGGGAGAACUUCUUCGAGAUCACUCCAUAUCUCACUGUAAUCGAAGACGUCAUCAAGCACAAUAAAGUACUUCUUGUUGGUUAGGUAAUCUCGAAGAACAGAUUUCUUCAAUUGAUAAUGUUCACCGAUAAUUACACUAACCCGAGAUGGAGGCAUCACAGACUUGAUUAUGUCAUCCAAUAUCCAUACUUUAUCGUAGGCUAUAGAAACCCUUACCCAAGCAUGACAGUCAAAAUAGAACUUGACACGGUUAUUAUUGUAAGUAUCUGCAGCAAAAGCAGUCUUAUCGAAGCCACUGCUGUCGAGAAUUGCAACCACUGAAAGCCCAGAUGGUCCCUCAAUCAAUAGAUCAAAAAACUUCUCUCUGCCCCUUUCAAAUUCACUGAUAUCGAGCCGAGGUUGUCCCUCACUCAAUAGGCGUAUGAUUUCGUUCCUUUUUUCACUGAUAUCAAAACCAUUGUCGCCGGGUGGAAGUUGUUGCAUCCGAUUUCUAAUAUCAAUGAUUUUAGUGUGGAGUCCAACAAGAAGAGCCAUAUCAGUACUGCUUUCACUUUCGUUUUCACUGUUUUGCUGCUGCAUGAUUUUGAUGAAGAAUGUGUCAAUGGCUUCCUCAGAUUCAUGGACAAAGUCAUUGAUGUCCUCCAGAAUUUCAAAAAUAUCUGCUGUUUCAACGUCUUCUUCAUCGCUUUCUUCUAAGUCCAACAGUUGCAAAAAAGGCAAUGAUAUUUUGGAGUCAUCUAAUUCUUCUCUAAGGAGUUGAAACAAAUGCCGAGCCAUGUCAGCUUCAUAGUUUCCCAGCAGAGUAGUAGCAAUAAUUUCGGACUCCGUAAGAAGGUUUUGAAAACGUGGAGUUAAAUUUGUUGAAUCUGGCAAAGUUAACGUGCCUUCUUCACCUGCUAACACCCUUUUCAACCUCUCACAAAACAGUCGGAGGUGGAAUUCCAGCAUAUCUCCUUCUCUCCGUAGCACUCAGAGGUAUAGCUGAAAGAUUAAACACCAUGGAAGAAUUUGAAAGGAAAAUGCCAAGAAAUUGUGUAAGUGGCUAAAUUCCACAAAUAUGACAUUAUUGCUCAUUUUUUAACUCAAAAAAAGGGUACGCGUUCAUUUAGAGAAAAGUCCAAGACGCGUGCUUUUUGAAAAGAACAGGUAUCCCAAUCGGUAUCCAACCUUUAUCUUAUUUAAUUACUACCAUGACAUAAUUGAUGGUGCUUAAAUCAAUUGUUUCUUUUUUAAUUUAAAGAAUUUUUCAUUAAAAAAAUAUUUUAAUAUCAAAUUGCCUUCAGUGGCGUAACAACUGCCUGAAGCCCAGUAACAGGACUAAUUAAAAAUUUUACAAUUUUUGGGCAUGGAAAUAGUAGUAUUAAACAUUAGAAAGGUGAGGUUGUUCUGUUAAAGAAUUGAUAUUGACAUAAUUUUAUUUUGGUUUUCGUGGAAAACAAAAAUAUUUGUUGACAAGCAAGAAAAUAUUUUUAUUUUUUAAAAUUUAUUAUGCAUAUUUUAUCAUAUUGAAGUAAUUUUAAUAAUAAAUAGAAACAUAAUAUUACAAUAAAUAAAUUAAAAUUUAACUUAUUUUGAAUAUUAUAAAAAAUAAUUUUAAUAUUAUUAAUAGGAAGACAUUGUAUUAAUUUUAAAAUUUUUUAACCCAAAGGUUUAUUUAAAAUCUUUAUUAUAAAUACAAAUAUAAAAUUAAAUAUCAUAAUUUAAAAUUUUUAAUAUUAUUUUAAGUAUUAAAAAUAUUUUAAUGUUAUUAGUCUACUACAUAGAUCAUAUUACUUAUAUAAUAUUUGUAUUAUUAAAAAUUUUUAAAAUCAAAUUUUUAGUUAGUAUAUUCAUGAGGUAUUAUGGUUACAAAAAAAAGACCUUAUUAUUACUUUUUAAAAAAUUGAGGGUCUGCGAUGAUAAUUUUUUCAAAAAGAAAAUACAUGGUAUGUAGGAGGGGUAGAGAAACAGGACUUCCAAAAUCUCUCACCCUUCUUUAAUUAAAAAAAAAAUUAAAAUAUUAAUAAAAAAUAAUAAAGAAAAUAGAAUUUUAUCUGCUCCUUACUCCAUUUUUGCAACUCUCUCAACAUCUCUGUCGAGCAGCCUUCUCUCUCAUUGUCUCUCACUAUUUCACGAUCUCUCUCUCACUCACACAGGCAAUGACCAUCUCAUCAUCGGCGGUCGUGUCGUCAGUGUCACUGGUCUUGCUCGACCGAGACAGUGAGAGAGAGGUUUCUUAGAUGGAGUGAUGAUAAAGGAUUCUAUUUUUUUUAUUAAUAUUUUAAUUUUUAAAAUUAAAAUGUGCUGCCGUUUCUCUUGUCUUUUUAGCUGUUUAGCAGCACUCUUUUCAAAAUUUAAGAAUGUAGGUGUCCUAUAAGAGAUCGAUAAAAGAACGUCAAUUAAAUUUAUAAAAAUAUGAUAAAAGAACGUCAAUUACUUGUCUUUUAGGGAAUCCAAUGAGAAAUAUGAUAAAAGAACGUCAAUUACUUGUCAUUUUCAAUUUUUUUCUGUAAGCUAUUUAUUUUGAGCAUUAGUGAUCUUGUCUGGACUACUCCAAUUAUUGACGUAACUCCAGUGGCUGCAAUUAAUGAUAUAAAGCUGAGACUUUUGACCAAGUUAUCUAGUUGGGAAAGCAAAUUUUUUUCCAGUGGGGGUAAAGAAGUGUUGAUUAAAGCUGUUGCUCAGGCUGUGCCAGCCUAUGCAAUGAGUGUUUUUAAGAUCCCUCAUAGCUUUUGUGAUGACAUUGAGAAGGCUAUUACUCGUUUCUGGUGGGGUUCCUCUGAAACAAAAAGAAGCAUUCACUGGACAAGGUGGGAACAGUUGUGCCACGCCAAGAUAAGGGGGGGAUUGGGUUUUAGAGAUUUCUCUAGUUUUAACCAAGCCUUAAUUGCUAAGCAGGGGUGGAGAAUUCUGCAGCACCCUGACUCUUUAAUGGCAAAGAUUCUGAAAGCAAAAUAUUUUAAGCAUACUGGUUUUAUGGAUGCGAAAUUGGGUUCACACCCCUCUUUUGUUUGGAGAAGUAUAUUAUGGGGUAGGCAAGUGCUCCAUAACGGCCUAAGAUGGAGAAUCGGCAGUGGGAGUCAAGUUUUAAUUUCCAGUAGCAAUUGGAUAAAAAACCAUAAGCUUCCCAGUUUGGUUCCAUAUUCAGAUCUACCUCCUGAAACUGUAGUUGCUGACCUUAUUGAUGAAAGUCACCAAUGGAAAGAAGAUAUGGUUUUCCAAUAUUUUCCAAUGGAUGUUGCAAAGAGGAUCACCAGAACCCCUCUCCCAAAAACUCCCCAGCAGGAUCUUCUCAUUUGGAAAUAUGAUAAGCACGGAAUUUACUCGGUGAAGAGUGGGUAUCAAUUGGCUGUUAAGCAAAAAUUCCAAAAUUAUCCAAGUUGUUCAGAUGUUACCAAGUCAAGGUGGGAGGUGAUAUGGGCUACGGAUCUUCUAGGAAAAGUCAAGAUUUUUAUUUGGAGGGCUGCUCAAAAUCUUCUCCCUGACUUUUCUUGCAGCCCUCUAGUAUUCAGGGCAGCCUUAACUUCAUCCAAUGAUAAAGUCUGUCUCCCAUACAUGAGUGCAUCCACAAAGUUUGAAUAUGAGGAUGGAAGUGAACUAACCAGAAGCAAUGCUUUACCUUCAUCAUCUAAACCUUCAUCAAUUAUUUCCAAUGUAUCACAGACCUGAUUGAAUUCAUCAAUGUGGUCUUCGAGAGAUGACCCUUCAGCCAUCUUUAGUGUGAACAUUCUUUUCUUGAUGUAAAGUCUGUUGGCUAAUGAUUUAGUCAUAUACACCCUUUCAAGCUUUGCCCACAGAUCAGCCACUGUUCUUUCUCUUGCAACUUCCCUGAUCACCGAGUCUCCAAGACUCAAGAUUAUGGUACUCCUUGCCUUUUUGUCAAUCUCAGCAGCUUGUUGUGGUGUUAGUGAUGAUGAAGAUGUGGAGGCUUCUAAUCCUUCUUUCUUGAUGAUAGGUUCUAAGGCAUCACCUAGCCCUUGAGUGAUCAGUAAUGCCUCCAUUUUAACCUUCCACAUGUUGAAGUCAUUCUUCCCUGUAAACUUCUCUAGAUCGAUCUUUGAACCAACCAUACUUGUGUCUGAUUUGUAAUCCAAGCUCUGAUACCAAUUGUAGUGUUUAAGAGUGACUAACUAUCCCAAUCAACUCAAAACACUUCCCAAGAUCACACCCAAACAAACAAGAUGUACCAAGAAUCAAUCCAGUAGAAUACACACAGAUUAUUAGAACUGAAAGAAUUAAAGAAAAGGACAAGAAUUAACGUGGUUCAGCUAGCUUCAGUCUAGCUUACAUCCACGGGAGAAACAGAACCCAAUUGUAUUGAUUGUUUAAAGGAGUUACAGAGAGUUCAUCAAGCUUGUUACAGAGUCUCUCAAGAAGCCUUUUGUUAUUAAUCUUCUCAACUCACAAUAGCUCUCUCUUCUUUUUUCUCUGUUGCCAGAAUCAGCUGUAUAUAACAGCUUGUUAACGAAUCAGCAACCAACCCAGGAACCCACGUGACAGUCAUGUGAGUUAACUGAUUCUAACGAACCAAGAACGCAACUUAUCCAUGCACGUGAAACUCUCGUGCAUCACUUAACCAAAACGACCUUCAUACAUGUCGUUCCAGGAGAUACGAGUUUGACUUUCCAAAACGCAGCAUCAGCUGACGUUUUCACAAACAGAUUUGCUUCACAUCACAACAUUGGGGGUAGUCAUUAGAAACUCUGUGGGUAAGGUUGUUGCUGCAGCAGUCCAAGGAGCUCCAUAUAGGGGAGAUGUGGCGUGUAUGGAGGUUGAAGCUGUUCUGUUUGGUAUUCAGAGUGCCCAACAAGCAGCUGUUUUCCCAAUAAUUAUUGAGUCGGAUUCAAAGGAAGUGGUGGAUCUAUCCUUAAAGAAAAAGAUCAGCAAGACUGAAAUUGAGUGGAAAAUUGCAGAAAUCCAAGCAAAUCUGGAAAAUCAGAAUGUGUCCUCGCUGUCAUAUGUCCCUAGAAGCUGUAACUCUAUUGCUCAUUCUAUUGCAAAGAUAGCUCUAGGUUUUGAAAGUCAAGUCUUUUGGCUGGAAAACUUUCCAGAACAUAUCAGGUGUACUCUUGCUAAGUUCAUCAAUUGAAAAGCUUUACUUUGCUCAUCAAAAAAAAAAAAAAAAAAAAAACUCCAGUGGCUGCAUCCACUGGAAAAAGUGGAUGAGAACCAUUUUUUUUUCAUAAAGGUAACUACUCACAUAAUUGAUGGUGCUUAAAUCAAUUUUUUCUUUCUUUUUUUUUUAAUUUAAAGAAUUUUGCUUUAAAAAAUAAUUAAUAUCAAAAUGCCUUCAAUGUUGUUACCCUCACAAGCCCAGUUAGAGGACUCAUUAAAAAUUUUAGAAUUUUUAGGCCUGGAAAGCGUAGUAUUAAACAUCAGAAAGCAAAGGUUUUUAUGUCGAAGAAUUGAUGUCGACAAAAUUUUAUUUUAGUUUUCGGGAAAAAAAAUAAUUUGUUGACAAGCAAGAAAAUAUUUUUUAUACUUUACAAUCUGCUAUACAUAUUUUAUCAUAUUAAAGUAAUUUUAAUAAUAUAUGGAAACAUAAUAUUAUAAUAAAUAAAUUAAAAUUACUUUGAAUUAUUAAAUAUUACAAAAAGAUAAUUUUAAUAUUAUUAAUAGGAAAACAUUUUUUAAUUGUAAAAUCUUUUUAAUACAAAAAAUCAUUUAAAAUCUUUAUAAUAAAUACAAAUAUAAAAUUAAAAAAUAUCAUAAUUAAAAUUUUUAAUAAUAUUUAAAUAUUAAAAAUACUUUAAUAUUAUUAAUCUACUACAUAAAAUAUAUUAUUUGUAUUAUACUCGUAUUGAUUAAAACGUUUUAAAGUCAAAUUUUUAAUUAGUGUAUUCAAAGGUAUAAAAGAUUUUAGUAUUAUUUUUUAAAAAUUUCAGGAUAUGAAUGAUAAUUUUUUCAAAUUUUAAAGAUGUAAGAAUCUUUUUUUCUGAUAAUUUAUUUCACUUUUAAGAGAAUCCGAAAACGUUAAUUUAACAUUCUUUACCUUUGUAUAAAAAGUGAAAAUCAAGAACUAUUCAAUUUUGUUUUUAUUUGUAAUUCAAAAACGUUAUUCAUUUUCGAUGCUUUUCAAAAGAGAUUCCUUUAAAUCCUUUUGGUGGCUGCAGCUCCUGCAAUUUUCAUAAAUCUCCAUCCCACAUCAACACUAUCAAACAAGUUGAUGGAAAUUCUUAUCAAAAUUCCACAAAUAUGACGUUAUUGCUCAUUUUUCUCUCAAGACGCGUGCCUCCUGAAAAGAGAUACAUUGAAUAAGUCAAUUGAUUACAUUGUGGGUAAUUAAUUUAGAAGUGAAGCAGAGAAUAAAGUCCUAGAUGCCUUUAGAAAUUAGAAAUACAUUUUAUAUGCUUUAAUUAAUGAAUUCACUGAGGCAUUAUUGAUCCAAUCCCAGUGAAGUAAUUGUGGGUGAAAAAAAAAAAUAAAGUGCUGAAUUGGCUAUUAAAAAAGAGUGUCACUUGAUCACAAUCACAUUGAUCCACAACUCACUCGAGGCAAAUUUCAUCUAUGUGUACUGCAAAUUUAGCCAAACCAUGCAUGCAUGAACAAAAUUAGGCCGUAGUCCUCAUCACAACAUUAAUUGAAGCCACAAAAGCCAGCAAAUCCAAACGAAAACUUAAAAGGAAGUCUUUUAACUAUUGGAAACAUUAAUCAUUUUACAAUCUAUUACAUAAUAAAGAUAAAUUUUAUAAUAAGUUAAGUUAGAACUAGGGAAGGCAAAUUUUCCCGAUGGGAUGGGAUCCUGCGGGAUCCCAUCCCAUUUGGGACGGGAUUGAGACAUAUUUUUGUCCCAUAAAAAAAUUUAGGACGGAAUUGGGAUUUUUUUUAUCCCAAUUACAUAUGCGGGACAUGAGUGGGAUUGACAAAUUCCGUCCCAUCCCAUCUCAUUACCGAUUAAUAAUGGAAAUUUUUCCAAUUGGGAUGGGAUCCCGCGGGAUCCCAUCUCUUUUAGGACGGGAUUGGGACAUAUUUUUGUCCCAAAAAAAUAUAAGGACGGGAUUAUGACAUUUUUUCAUCCCAUUUGCAUAUACGGGAUGGGACUGGGAUUGGUAAAUCCCAUCCCAUCCCAUCCCAUUGCCAACCCUAGUUAAAACAUAUCAAAUAUUUUCAACAUAUAUAAUUAUUUAAGAAGUCUUUUAACAAUAUUUUUUUUUCUUUUUCAGUUAAUCAUGUCAUAUACCGUUAUCUAAAACGCUGGCGAUAUUAUUAUUCCUCACUUUUCUCAAAAAAAAAAAAGAAAAAAAAAAGAAACAUGAUUAACGUUUAGAGAAAAGUCAUGCCUUUUAAAAAGAAUAUGUAUACAAUAGCAAUCCAUACUUUAUAAAAUUGAUGGCGAUUACAAAGAAAAAUUGUUUAAAAUAGAUUUGAUGCACAAAUAUGAUGACUUUUGGCAAAAAUUAGUUUCGGAAAUGUUGAGAUGAAAACCAUAUUAAUUGAGAAUUAAAAUUAUUUAACUACCAUCUAAUAGAUGAAAACCAUAUCAAUUGGGACUUAAAUUAAAAUUUAAAUAUUGAAAUAUCUAGCAUUACUCACAAUAACCAAUUCAAAUUAUGACUAUCAUGUAGAAGCAAAUGUUUAUGCGUGGGUUUUUUACUUCUUGAAUUUGAUUGGAAAAAUUUCUAAGAUAGAGAAGUGUUUUGGAUAAGCUUUUCGGGAUUGAAACCACAAAUUGGUAGAGGAAAUUAAUUUUGGACAAAUUUUUCUUAUAUUGUAGGACCUUCUAGUUGGAGUAGUGAUGGCUUUGUCUUCAUUUUUGGUUCCUUUUGUGUCGGCAGCCCCUUACUAUUCUCUUGACCCUGAGUUUGAGAUAGAAAUUUAUCAACCUCCAACCCCACAUCCACAAACAAGUUGAUUGAAACAAUUGCUCUUUUAAUUAAGAGGACCCAAAUGAUUUAGGUUUCAGUUCUUAUCAUUUGUCUAUUAUUUCUUUGAAACAUUUAUUUUGAGCGUUACUGAUCUUAAUUAUCUGUAUUUCUCCAAUUAUUGAAGAAUUUCAAGUGGCCACUUUUUCUCCUUUUUAUAUAUGUUUAUUUUUUGGAGUGAUCAAACGGGUGCAAAAUCAAGUAUUCGCUGGUCCGUAGUUUAGCCAACUAUGGCUGAUCCACACAGUUGAUUAUAUGAUACUAUUAGCUCUCAAAAUCUUUCUUAUUUGAGAACAUAAAUUGCCCAUUAAAGUUAAACUAUGUUACCCAGCUCCAUGCACAUACAUUAAAUGUUUAGGUAGUUUUACAAAAUGAUAACAGCAUGCCAAAACUUGAUGUUGUCAUAUUCGACAUUUCAAAUUGAAAAAUACGCAAGCAAUCUUCAGUGAACAUUACGUGUUUAUUGAAUAAUUUAAAUGGCCAGUAAAUCAACAGUCCGUGAGUUUUAAAUCUAUUAUGACUUAAUGUAUCUUUCUGUAUUUGUACACAUAUUAUAUUAUCAUAGUUUAAAAUUUUAAUAUUAUUUUAAAUGUUAAAAAUACUUUAAUGCUAUUAGUCUACUACACAGGUUAUAUUAUUUAUAUUAUAUUUGUAUUAAUUAAAACUUUUAAUGUCAAUUUUCUAAUUACUAUAUUAAUAAAGUAUUAUGGUUAAGAAAAAGUUUUGGCAUUUCUUCUUGAAAAUUUGAGGGUCUGCAUGACAAUUUUUCCAUAUUCUAAGGGUAUAAGUUUGAAAAUUUAACAUUCUCUAAAUUGAUGAAACAAAAAGGGGAAACCAAGAACUAUUCAAUUUUGUAUUUUUUGUUUGUAAUUCAAAAAAUGCAUCCACCAAACAAGUUUUACGCAUUAAUGCUGUCAUAAAACGAAAAACAAUUUGCCAAAAAAGGGUACCAAACAUAUCCUUAAUGUCUCACAUGAUUUCUUAGUAAGCCCGUAUUAGAUAUAUUUAUACAUUUUAGGUAUUUUAGUUAUAAAAGAAGUUGGCCCUCCCUUGUUUAUAAAAAAUAACUUUAUUCAUGCACAUAUGCCAAAAGAAUAAAUAGACAGAAAGUAAAUUUACAGUCCUCACUUCCUCACAAUUGUUAACGUGAAGAUGCAUUACAACUGUGAACUGUCACUACUUUAGCCUUUUUUUUUAAAAAAAAAAAUUAUAGUGUGAUGGAGACAUUAAGGAUGAGCAUAACAGUUAAAGAUGACUCAUUUUCUUUUUAAAGUGCUCUGCUGAAAGCCGAACUUCCUUUGGCUAAUUAAUUUAGAAGUAAAGCAGAGAAUAAAGUCCUAGACGCCUUCUGAAAUAAGAAAUACAUUUUAUAUGCUUUAAUUAUGAUUAUUUGGUAGACUAAAGACCUAAAAGAUAUGUCAAAAGUAUAAAACAGAGCGAUUAAAGAAAAAAGAAAAAAAACAGAGUAUUUGUGACGUAGAAUAACAAUUGGUAAAUAAAUCCUAAAUAUUUGAGUUGUUAAAAGCAAAUAUAACAGAGACGGUAAGAGAGAUGCAGAAACAGAAAACUAUUAGCUUAUCUUGAUUUUUCCACUAUAUUCAUUUUCAAUGCUUUUCAAACGAGAUUCUUUUAAUUCUUCUGGUGUCUGCAGCCCCGGCUAUUCUUAUAAAUCUCCAUCCCACAUCUGCACUACGAACAAGUUGACUGAAAUUAAAUAAUGUUGGAGAUGAAGGGUGAGCCGUCAACUUGUUAAAAAAAAACUCAUGUAUAAUAUUAUCAAUAAUAUAAAAUAUAUAAUAAUUAUUACAAAGAAUCAUAAAUUAGAAAAAUUAAUUAUUUUACAAUCUAUUUCUUAAGUAAGGUGGCGUUUGUUUUUUCAUCUGAAAUCUGAAUAGACCUGAAUUAAUCUGAAUUCUGAAUAGAUCUGAAUGUCUGAAUCUGAAUAAUAUGUUUGUUUUUUUGUUUGAAUCUUGGAAAAUAAGUAUUAAGUUGUUUGUUUUUUUCAACUUAAAAAGCUGAAAAUAUGUACUUUUACAUUUAUAUCCUUAUUAAAUUUGAAUGUCAAAUAAAUAAUAAAUUAAAUACCACAAUAUUUUAACAUUUAUAAGUAAAACUAUAUUCAAGUGAAUACAUAAUUAUUUUGGAAUUUUAAUAGAUAAAAUACUAAAAAUUUUAAAUUUUAUCGUAUAUAAUAUAAGAAAGAAAAAAUAGGAAAAUUUUCAUGUGGGGUAAAUGUUUAUGGGUGAGUUUUGGGAUAGACAUGAAAAAUAAAUUAUAAAGCAGGGAUAUUUUUGAUAUUAGCAAGUAAUUGACUUAAUUCAGAUUUCUCCAUUAAGUAAAAAGCCAAAAGAAUUGGCUUAUUUUAUUAAGUCAAAAUUAUCUAAAAAGUCUCAUUAAGUUAUAAAAACAAACACCUCUAAUUAACUUAAUUAAUUAAGUUAAGUCACUUUAAGUCAUUAAGUUAAAAAACAAACGCCACCUAAGAUAAAUCUUGUAAUAAGUUAAGUUAUAACGUAAAAAAUAUUUUCAAUUUAUAAUCAUUUAAGAAGUCAUUUAAUAAUAAAAUCUUUUUUUUUUAUCAGUAGGCCAUGCUACAGAGUAUCAUCUAUAUUCGUGGUGAUAUUAUUAUUACUCAGUAUCCUCAAAAAACACGAUUUAACAUUUAGAGAAAAUUCCUGCCUUUUAAAAAGAACAUGUAUGCAAUAGCUAGCCAUACUUUAUUUUACCACGACAAAAUUGAUGGUGAUUAAAUCAAUUUUCUCAAUUAAAGCAAAAUUUUUUAAAAUUGAUUUAAUGCACAAAUAUGAUGAUUUUUUGUAAAAAUUAGUUUUGGAAAAUAUAGUGAGAGAAAAUGGUGACGAUUAUUUUUCAAAUGUGCAAAUAGCCUAAACAUAAUCUCUAAUACCAAUAUCCAUGUGCAUCUUAACACCUUUCAUGAUAUUCUUUCAUUCAUGGCCAUUUGUUCAAGAUUUGAAUUUGAUUAUUAAAUUAUGUUCAAUAAUGUUAGAGAUCCCAACAAUUGAGUACCAACUUAAAUCCCAAUGCUAUGUGUCAUUAACAAAUGUUGUGUCAUUUAUAAUUAUUGAAUGAAUAAUUCGUUAAUUUAUUGAUAAAUGAAAAUUUAUUAAUUUAAAGAGAGAUAUUUUUUUUUGGUUUUAAGAAGAGUUUUGUUGGUACAUGUACAUACUUAUAAAGAAAUAAACUUGUAAUUAUACUAUAUCUUUCUUUCUUUGUUCAGUUUGGUGGGAUAUUGUGAUAAAUCAUUGGAUUAAAAUGCAUUUCUAAAUUGAAACUUGUUAAAAUCUAAUUUAUUUGGGAAACACAUGUUAUUUGUCAGUCGUACUUCUCAACUUAGCAAGUUAUUUCUAACUUGUCAGUCUCUAUUGGUUCUCUUAAAGUUAAUAGUCUCGAAUCUCCCGCAUUUGAUAUCUUGCCAUUACUCUUGGCAUUAACAUGUUACCUGAGAUUGGGAUUCAUUAAAAUCCUCAAUGUAAUCGGUGGAACGAAUGGAUUUCUUCUGUUCACCAAUCCACCAAAAUUUCUGUAAUUAAAUUCAAAAGUCAAGAUCUAUGCUUAUAAUCUAUUCAACAGUUAAUAUUCUAUUUUAUAUUUACUUAAAUAUGAAGAGCUAUGCUUGUCAUUAACUUCAAAUGUGAUCGAAGCAGCCUUACAUCUGUAUAUUACUUAUUCCCAACCUUUUUUUUGACUUCAUAUACUUUCUUUUCAUGUUAUUUACUCUUUUUUCCCCCCUCUCUAAUGGGGUCAAACUUGAAAGUAUCUUAAAAUCAGACAAUAAUUUUUUUUUUAUGAUAGAUGCUAAUAUGCUCUAUUAGGCAAUGAUAAGUAAUAACCUAGUUGUUUGCAUUAGAAAUGAUAUUUUUUGUGGUGCUGAUAAAGUGGUUGAGUAUGAUUCAACAAUUUAAAAUAUGAAAACAUGUGGAAGACGGCUGCAAAUAAAUUGAUUGUAUGAAAAUAUUUCAAUGAAAUUUUAAAAAUUUAAUACUUGUUAUCUUAUCGAGAGUUCCCAAAUAAUUGGGCUAGUUUAAUUACCGGCCUAAUUAUUGUAGCCACUAUUGUAUGUUCCCAAAUGAUCCCCGGGUUAGCUCAUUUAAUUGACUGCACCACUACUGGACUAAUAAGUAAGAUAACUAGCUAUUUGGGUCAAAAGCCUAAAUAUAUCAUUUAGUGGGAGGCUCCAUUUAAUUAGCUUUUGUAUAAGGGGCCUUAUGUUAUUUUACAAGGUGGGUCCCCUAUUGAAAAAGAAAAUAACGUGAGUUUUAUUUAGGGCAUUAUUUGGAGCCUAGGGUUUUCACUAAAGGGAGAUAUAUAAGGCUUAUUUUCUCUAAAGAAAAAAGAAAAGCCACUUUAUACAGAUCAGAGAAUAAGAUUUUUCUCUCCAUUGUUGAGAGAAAAAUUUUCUCGUGCUAGUUGCUUUGGUAGUGAUAAAGGCGCCCACACGUCAAGUGCAGAUCGAACCUGAGUCAUAACCUGGAAGAUCAUUGGUGACAGUUCAUGAUCUAACAAGCGUGGUGGUGACGGUUCGUGAUCUAACAAGCGUGGUGGUGACGGAUCGUGAUAUAACAAGAGUGGUGGUGGCGGAUCGUGAUCUAGGAGCCUAAAUCACUUCAGCGGAAAAAGCCAACUCGGAUUUUCAAGGUACGAUUUCUAGAAUACGAAUUCUUAUAUAUUAUAUGAGAGCGAUCUUCAAAAGGUUUUAUAAAAAUUUAAAAGCAGCAUGUGCUGCUGGCAGCUCGCUGCUGCGUAUGUAGCAACUGCAGCGCGCGAGCAGCAGCUGCAGUGCCCAAGCAGCAGCGUGAACGUGGGCUGGAGGCGCAGAGCGUUCUGGUUGGCGUCUUUCCGGCGUCGAUGACGGCUGUCCGGUGUGGAAACAGUAAACAACGGCUGGGUUUUUGUGCUGGUGGCGGCUGGGGAAGAAGAGGAAAAGAAAAAUGUGAUUUUAGGGUUCCAUGGUUUUUAUCGUGGAGGUCCCUAUAGCUUCAUAUUUUUCAGUUGGGCAGAAACGUUUUUUAAUUUUUUGCAUUUAAGUCCAAAAACCGUUUUGGGCUUAAAGAAUCCUAGUUUUAGGCCCAAUUUCAAUUGGGCUUAAUGGAUUAAAAAAAUGCAUAGACAAAAUUAAAUACAUUAAAUUUAUUUUUGGUCCAAAAGUUUUAUUUUAAUAAAAAAAAUUAAUUAUUUAUUUAUUUCCUUUCAAAAUUAAAAUUGGACCAAUUAUAAAUUUAAAAGCCCAAUUUCCCCUAGUCCAUUAACAAAAACAAGCUUAUGGAAGAUGGACAUUGACAAGAAGCCCAAUGAAGAUUAGGCAUAGGGUUAAUGUAUUUUUCAUUAUUAGGAAAGGCAUGAAUUAAGAUUAUUUAAUUGUUUUUCUAUAUGUUAUGUUUUGGAUGAUAACAUGCCAUGAUAACAUGUAAUAUAGAAUAGGUAGUGCCACUCUAUGCAUAAUGAUACAUGUCAUUCAUUAAUUAUGAAUUUCAUUAUAUUGUUUGAAAUUUGCGCAUGCUUAAUAAUAUUUGAUAUCAUCUAGAUAAUAUUAUAGGAAGCAUGCAAUUAACAAUAUGUAUGUUUUAAAAAGGAAAAACCAAUUUUAAAAUAUUGAGUGGGAGAGGGAAAAUUCAAGAUAAUUUUCCCACGGGCUCCAUUGUUAGUUCAAUAAUAAAAUUAUAUAUAUACCUCGACUUCAUGAUACAGUGAUGCUCAUUACGGAGGGUAUAUAUAUUAGAUAGUUUAUUUGAUGAACUUCUUCAAAGAUAAAAUUGAAAUAUUUUUCAAUCGAUUGUUCACCCCAACGGUGACUAUUGAUAUGAAAAAUACGUAGAUUGAAACAAUGGUUAUACACUCAACUAAAGUUUGUUAUUAAUCUUCCCAACGAAGCUCUGUUAACAAAUUUAGGCCCAAAAAGAUAACGAUAAUUAUUUAUCAUGUCUCUACAUGAAAGUAAAUAAUCCAAUGGGUAAUUGGGUCUAGUAAGUAUAGACAUGACUUCCCCACCGGAUAGCUUGUCAAAGCAGUACUAGAUUAUCGUUACAAUAAAUUAAAAUGCAUUUAUGGUUUUUUGCAUUUUUUUCAUUUAUUGUGAAUAUUGAUUCAAAUUAUUUAUGCAUGGAUGUUUUUAUUUUUCAGAAAAUGUCUUCCCUGAGCCCACUUACUAUUAUUCUGAGUCAAAACAAACUCACUGGAGAGAACUAUAUAGAUUGGAAAAGAAAUCUAUUCAUUGUCCUGACUGCUGAAAAUUAUAAAUAUGUCUUAACCCAGCCAUGCCCCCCAGUUCCAGCGGAUGAUGCUCAUAGAAAUCAGAGGAGGCUUUAUGAGAAAUGGCAAAAGGCCAAUGAAAUGGCAAAGUGCUACAUUUUAGCCUCGAUUUCUAAUAUUCUGCAGACCAAACAUCAGAACUUGGAGACUGCCACUGAAAUAAUGAAUAGUCUCCAACAGAUGUUCGGGCAGAGUACUCGCUCUGCGAGACAAGCAGCGCUGAAAGGAAUUAUGAACAGUAAAAUGGGGAAGGGCACAAGAGUUCGUGAUCAUGUCCUCAAAAUGAUGGACUAUUUGAAUGAGGCUGAGAUUCAGGGAGCACAAAUCGAUGAUAACUCAAAGAUUGACAUGGUGCUAGAAUCUCUGCCAGAAACAUUCAAGGAGUUUAAGGUCAAUUAUAACAUGAACAAAAGAAAUAUGACCUUAACUGAAUUGAUGAAUGAACUCCAUUCUGCUGAAGAGAUCUAUCGUGCUGAGAAAUCUCUGGGAAGCAUAAAUUUUACUGAAAAAAGUUCAUCUUCUGGGCCUAAACCGAAAGGCAAAGGUAAGAAGAAAGCUGGGAAAAAAAGACCGUCUACCAAGCAAGAUGGCAAGCCGAAAGGCAAAUGCUUCAAGUGUGGACAGAAAGGUCACUGGAAAAAGGAUUGCCCUAAGAUUGUGAAAUCAGGUAUGGGAAAUCUUUUUUGUAAUUGAGGCCUGUUUAGUUCAGAAUCCUAUUGACACUUGGGUGUUGGAUUCAGGAGCAACUAAUCAUAUUUGUAAUUCACUUUAUUGGUUUCAGGAAACCAGGAAAAUAAGUGAAAGAAGCGUCAAGCUGCAGUUAGGGACAGGACAGUUCGUGUCAGCAGUAAAGACUGGAUCUGUUUUAUUAUCUUUUAAUAAUGAGACUUUAGUUUUGAAUAAUUGUCUUUAUGUUCUAGACAUUAAGAGGAAUUUAAUUUCAGUAGCUUGUUUGUCAAAGCAAGGGUACACUGUAAAUUUUGGAUCCUCUGUUUCUAUUUUUCAUAAUAAGAGACUUAUUUGUUCUGGUACAUUGGAAGAUAAUUUAUAUCAUUUAAGUCCAAUGAUCCAUUCUAUGCAUGACACAGUGAUAAAUAAUAAUGAGCAUACACAUUUAUCUAAGAAAAGAAAUAUUUCUUCCAACCAAUGUUACCUCUGGCAUUUAUGCUUGGGUCAUAUAAACCAAAAUAGGAUACAAAGAAUGAUCAAAGAUGGGCUCUUGGGUCCAUUAGAAAAUGAAUCAUUGCCACUCUGUGAAUCCUGUUUAGAAGGGAAAAUGACCAAAAGGCCAUUCUCGGCCAAAGGAGUACGUGCAACAGUACCACUUGAAUUGGUACAUACAGAUGUAUGUGGACCAAUCAAUGUACAAGCUCGAGGAGGUUAUGAGUAUUUCAUCACUUUUACUAAUGAUUACUCAAGAUACGGUUAUGUUUAUCUGAUGCGUCAUAAGUCUGAAGCUCUUGAGAAAUUCAAAGAGUAUAGGGCUGAGACAGAAAAGCAAUUAGAUAAGAACAUAAAGAAACUUCGAUCUGAUCGAGGUGGUGAAUUUCUCUCAGGAGAUUUCAAAGAGUAUCUGGUUGAAAAUGGGAUUAUAUCUCAAUUGACUGCCUCGGGAACACCACAACAAAAUGGGGUAGCUGAAAGAAGAAAUAGAACUCUUUUGGAUAUGGUGAGAUCUAUGCUUAGUUAUUCUUCAUUACCAAUCUCUUUUUGGGGACUAGCACUGGAAACUGCAGUUUACCUUUUGAACUUAGUUCCAUCUAAGUCAGUGCCUAAAACCCCAAUAGAAUUAUGGUCAGGUCGCAAACCAAGUUUACGACAUGUCCGUAUUUGGGGAUCACCAGCACAUGUGCUGAAACCAAAGGCAGACAAAAUGGAUUCACGUUCUGAGGUUUGUAUGUUUGUGGGGUAUCCCAAAGGAACAAGGGGAGGUUUAUUUUAUAGUCCUCAAGAUAGGAAAGUGAUCGUGAGCACACAUUUCACUUCCCUUGAGGAAGACUAUAUGAAUAACUUCAAACCUAAGAGUAAGGUAAUACUUGAAGAGCUGUCAGGUGAUCAGGUUGAUGCUCAGCUUUCAACGCCUGUUACAGAACAGGAAGAACAGCAACAACCAGAUGAUCAACACAGGAUUAACCCUGAACAACCAUCACUUUUAUAACCUCGUCGUAGUGGGAGGGUAACUAGGUUACCUGCGAGAUACAUGUUUUUGGGAGAAAUCUAUACGGCUAUCUCAGAUGAACAUGUACAAGAUCCCACUAGUUACAACGAAGCUCUAAUAGAUAGAGAUGUUGAAUUUUGGAAAAAGGCCAUGAAUCAAGAAAUGGAUUCUAUGUAUUCCAAUAAAGUCUGGGAACUUGUAGAGGCACCAAAUGGGAUAAAACCUAUAGGGUGCAAGUGGAUCUACAAGAGAAAAAGAGGAGUAGACGGAAGGGUGGAAACAUUUAAAGCAAGAUUAGUAGCCAAAGGGUUUACUCAGAAAGAGGGAAUUGAUUAUGAGGAAACUUUUUCUCCGGUUGCUAUGCUUAAAUCCAUCAGGAUUCUGCUCUCCAUUGCUGUAAUGCUAGAUUAUGAAAUUUGGCAAAUGGAUGUCAAGACUGCCUUUCUUAACGGGCAUCUUGAAGAAAACAUCUACAUGCAGCAACCAGAUGGAUUUAUACAAAAAGGCCAAGAACACAUGGUAUGUAAGUUGCAGAAAUCCAUUUAUGGAUUGAAACAAGCAUCCCGGUCAUGGAACAUCAGAUUUGAUCAAGCGAUUAAAUCGUUUGGAUUCAUUCAGAACAUUGAUGAACCAUGUGUGUACAAGAAAAUUCAAGAAAAAUCUGUAGCCUUCCUAAUUUUUUAUGUAGACGAUAUUCUCCUAAUUGGAAACGAUAUAGGAGUAUUGACUACAAUAAAGAGUUGGUUAGCAAAACAAUUUGAUAUGAAAGACCUGGGAGAGGCAAGUUAUAUUCUUGGUAUCAAAUUACUACGAGACCAGAAGAAUAAAACUUUAGCCUUGUCUCAAGCGGUCUAUAUCGAUAAGAUAUUGGCUAGAUUUAGCAUGGAAAAUUCCAAGACUGGUUUAUUACCAUUCAGACAUGGAAUUACAUUCUCUAAGGAUCAAUCACCUAAAACAUCUGAAGAGAUAGAGAGAAUGAGACGAGUUCCCUAUGCAGAAGCUGUGGGAAGUCUUAUGUAUGCCAUGCUUUGCACUAGGCCAGACAUCUGUUUUGCGGUAGGGAUGGUUAGUAGAUAUCAAUCUAAUCCUGGACCUGAACACUGGACUGCGGUCAAGCAUAUAAUGAAGUAUCUGAAAAGAACUAAAAAUUAUAUGCUUGUGUAUUCUGGUGAUGAACUCAUUCCAGUGGGUUAUACUGAUUCUGACUUUAUGUCAGAUAAGGAUUCCAGAAAAUCAACUUCCGGCUAUGUGUUUACAUUGGGAAGUGGAACUAUUAGUUGGAGGAGUGUGAAACAAUCUUGUAUCGCAGACUCCACAACUGAAGCUGAAUAUGUGGCUGCAUCCGAAACUGCAAAAGAAGCUGUAUGGCUCCGCAAGUUCCUACAAGAUCUUGAGGUGGUACCUGCUGUAACUGCACCCCUUAAACUAUUUUGCGAUAAUAGUGGUGCGGUAGCUAAAUCUAAGGAACCACAAGAAACAAAAACAUAUUGAGAGGAAGUAUCAUCUUAUAAGGGAUAUAGUGCAGAGAGGUGAUGUGGAGGUUACUCAGAUUGCGUCACAGCAAAACUUGGCAGAUCCUUUUACUAAGGCCAUACCUGGGAAACCUUUUAACUUGCACUUGGAAUCCAUGGGCAUGCGUGAGAUGCCAAAUAUGCUUUGAGAGCUAGUGGGAGAUUGUUGGGAAAAUAUGCCCUUUAAAAGCAUAUGUGUUUAUUUAAUUGUAAUAAACAAUUUUUCUGAUUAAUAAAAUAAAUGAGGUAUUUUAUUCAAAUAUCUUAAUUGCAUUAAUAUUUGUAUUAAAGUCCAUUUAAUCAUAUUAUAUGUAUUUAUGUGAUCACCAUGUGGAUUCACAGAAGACAUAAAUACAAGUUAUCUUAUGAUUAAAUAAAUUUAGUUCGCAGUUGAUAAAUAAAGUUGGGCACUUUAUUUAGGUAUAGACUGUAAUAAAUUCAUUGAAUGAUUUGUCUUAAUCAUGUAUGAAUUUAUUGAUGUAGUACGACUACAUUAAACAGGAUCACAUGUGAGAUUUAAUUAACUUUGUAAUAACUGUCAGACUUAUUAAAUCUUAUAGGCAUUGAUUUUACUGUAAUCUUAAUCUUGAGUUAAUUAUGAUUUCAUGAUUGUAAUUGUUAUUCCAUUUGAGUUACCAAUGGGCACGACACAUCCUUGUGGUCAAGAUUACCCGGUAUCUUGGUGGGAGCAAUUAUGAGUAUUGGAGUUAUGGAUUAACAAUAUAGAAUUUGUACAACACAUCUCUCGAUAGGUUUUCGGCACUUGAUCAUAGAAUUCUUUGGCCAGAGUGUGUCAACAUAUUUAGUAUGUUGAAAAUGAUCAUUAGAGAAAACCAGUAAGGAUCAAGGAAUAAGAUGUUAUUAAAUUGAUUGGACAGUUGAGAUAUCAAUUUAAUUAACGAUGUGGUACAAAGGAUUGUGCAGUAAAGAAAUCAAUGUGGCUUGGGACGAAUUAUUAUUCGAGCAUACAAUUAUGGAAGUCAGUUCCAAUCUUUUAGUGGAGUAGAUUUGGAAUUAAAUAAUUGGGCUAGUUUAAUUACAGGCCUAAUUAUUGUAGCCACUAUUGUAUGUUCCCAAAUGAUCCCCGGGUUAGCUCAUUUAAUUGACUGCACCACUACUGGACUAAUAAGUAAGAUAACUAGCUAUUUGGGUCAAAAGCCUAAAUAUAUCAUUUAGUGGGAGGCUCCAUUUAAUUAGCUUUUGUAUAAGGGGCCUUAUGUUAUUUUACAAGGUGGGUCCCCUAUUGAAAAAGAAAAUAAUGUGAGUUUUAUUUAGGGCAUUAUUUGGAGCCUAGGGUUUUCACUAAAGAGAGAUAUAUAAGGCUUAUUUUCUCUAAAGAAAAAAGAAAAGCCACUUUAUACAGAUCAGAGAAUAAGAUUUUUCUCUCCAUUGUUGAGAGAAAAAUUUUCUCGUGCUAGUUGCUUUGGUAGUGAUAAAGGCACCCACACGUCAAGUGCAGAUCAAACCUGAGUCAUAACCUGGAAGAUCAUUGGUGACAGUUCAUGAUCUAACAAGCGUGGUGGUGACGGUUCGUGAUCUAACAAGCGUGGUGGUGACGGAUCGUGAUCUAACAAGAGUGGUGGUGGCGGAUCGUGAUCUAGGAGCCUAAAUCACUUCAGCGAAAAAAGCCAACUCGGAUUUUCAAGGUACGAUUUCUAGAAUACGAAUUCUUAUAUAUUAUAUGAGAGCGAUCUUCAAAACGUUUUAUAAAAAUUUAAAAACCGAAUUUUUUCACCAACACUAUGUAGCUAGAUGGCAUUUCUAGUGUUUCAAGGUUUAAAAGGGUGCAUAGCAGUGAAGGAAGGCAUUUGACCGAAGGGAUAUUCAAUUUCAAAUACUUCAAAAGAUAUAAAUUUUCUAAUCCGGGCGGAUAUUGGUCCAGGACUGCAAAACCCAAAUUCAAUACCUGAAGGUGUUUGAACUUUUUACAAAAAUUCUCGCAAUCUAUCAGAGCGAGACGAUCGCUUUCUGAACUGUGAUUCAGAAAAGAUUGGAGACGCAUGUCAGAAUAUUCUAAAGGAAAGAAGUCAAUCAGGCGUUCCACAAUGAAGCACCGUUUAACAUUUGCCACUGAUUCUUCUUCCAUUUCAGGCGUCAAGACAAAUCCCGUCUUCUUUGCCACAAAAUACAAUGAAGUAAAUUCAAGACUUGGAACAUAACACGCUUUAAUUGUGCCGCCGGCGCUUCUCUUACUCACUUGAAUGAAGCCGCGAUGGAUUAGUUCUUUCAAGUAAUGUUCGGCAGUUUCUUCAUCGUUGUAUGGUAUGAAACCUUCAGCUACCCACAACUGAUAUAAUUGCCUCGUGGACAUCUCAAUACUUGGAGGGAAGACACACAAAUAGAUGCAGCAGACUUUCAAGUGAAAAGGUAACUCCAUCACAGAAAAAAUUUAUCUCCAAACUGUCGGAAUCGCUUCGCCUUGAACAUAAUUUUCUAAUGGCAUACUUCCAUAGUGUAGGAUGAAAAAUUGCCAGGCUUCAUGCUUUAAUCUGAUCAAUGGUCCUCCAAAGAGCACUGAAUCACGCCGAAUCUUCUCUCCAUUUUCCAUUUCCAACGACGCAAGGAGGUGUGGAUCACUGACCAACAUCAAUACUCUGCUUCCAUUCUGAUUAUCAGGAAGAACUUUUUCAAGAUCACUCCAUAUCUUACUGUCAUCGAAGACAUCAUCAAGCACAAUAAAGUACUUCUUGUUUGUUAGGUAAUCUCGAAGAAUAGAUUUCUUCAAUUGAUAAUCUUCCCCGAUAAUUACACUAACCCGAGCUGGAGGCAUCACAGACUUGAUUAUGCCAUCCAAUAUCUUGCCAAAAUCGUAGGUUAUCGAAACCCUGACCCAAGCAAGACAGUCAAAAUAGAACUUGACGUGAUCAUUAUUGUAAGUAUCUGCAGCAAAAGCAGUCUUAUCGAAGCCACUGCUGUCGAGAAUUGCAACCACUGCAAGCCCAGAUGGUCCCUCAAUCAAUAGAUCAAACAACUCCUCCCUGCCCCUUUGAAAUUCAUUGAUAUCGAGCCGAGGUUGUCCCUCAUUCAAUAGGCGAAUGAUUUCGUUACUUUUCUCACUGAUAUCAAAACCAUUGUCGCCGGGUGGAAGUUGUUGCAUCCGAUUUCUAAUAUCAAUGAUUUUAGUGUGGAGUCCAACAAGAAGAGCCAUAUCAGUACUGCUUUCACUUUCGUUUUCACUGUUUUGCUGCUGCAUGAUGUUGAUGAAGAAUCUGUCAAUGGCUUCCUCAGAUUCAUGGACAAAGUCAUUGAUGUCCUCCAGAAUUUCCAAAAUAUCUGCUCUUUCAACAUCUUCUUCAUCGCUUUCUUCUAAGUCCAACAGUUCAUCGAAAUCUUCUCUAAGGAGUUGAAACAAAUGCCGAGCCAUGUCAACUUCAUAUUUUCCCAGCAGAGUAGUAGCAAUAAUUUCGGACUCCGUAAGAAGGUUUUGAAAAAGUGGAGUUAAAUUUGUUGAAUCUGGCAGCGGCAACGUGCCUUCUUCACCUGCUAACACCCUUUUCAACCUCUCACGAAAUAGUCGGAGGUGGACGUCCAGCAUAUCUCCUUCUCUCUGUAUCACCCAGAGGUAUAGUUGAAAGAUUAAACACCAUGGAAGAAUUUGAAAGGAAAAUGCCAAGAAACUGUGUAAGUGGCUAAACCAUGAAAAAUUGAUCAUUUUUUUGCAUUGUAAGUUGCGCGUUCAUUUAGAGAAAAGUCCAAGACGCGUGCCUUUUGCAAAGAACAGGUAUCCCAAUCGGUAUCCAACCUUUAUCUUAUUUAAUUACUACCAUGACAUAAUUGAUGGUGCUUAAAUCAAUUGUUUCUUUUUUAAUUUAAAGAAUUUUUCAUUAAAAAAAUAUUUUAAUAUCAAAUUGCCUUCAGUGGCGUAACAACUGCCUCAAGCCCAGUAACAGGACUAAUUAAAAAUUUUACAAUUUUGGGGCAUGGAAAUAGUAGUAUUAAACAUUAGAAAGGUAAGGUUGUUCUGUUAAAGAAUUGAUAUUGACAUAAUUUUAUUUUGGUUUUCGUGGAAAAAAAAAAUUUGUUGACAAGCAAGAAAAUAUUUUAUCAUAUAAAAGUAAUUUUAAAAAUAAAUAGAAACAUAAUAUUACAAUAAAUAAAUUAAAGUUUAAAUUAUUUGGAAUAUUAUAAAAAAUAAUGUUAAUAUUAUUAAUAGGAAGACAUUUUGUUAAUUUUAAAAUCUUUUUAAUCCAAAGGUUUAUUUAAAAUCUCUAUAAUAAAUACAAAUAUAAGAUUAAAAUAAAAAUCAUAAUUUGAAAUUUUUAAUAUUAUUUUAAAUGUUAAAUAUACUUUAAUGUUAUUAGCCUACUACGUAGAUUUUAUUAUUUAUAUUAUAUUCGUAUUGAUUAAAAUUUUUUAAAGUCAAUUUUUUAGUUAGUACAUUCAAGAGGUAUUAUAGUUAAAGAAAAGAUUUUGGUGCAACUGUUUUAAAAUUUCAGCGUCUAAAUGAUAAUUUUUUUAAAAUUUAAGGAAGUAGGUAUUAUUUUUCCAACAAUUAUUUUACUUUUGAGGGAAAUCCGAUAAGAAAUAUCAUCAAAGAACAUUAAUUUAACAUUCUUUACCUUUAUGAAAAAAGUGAAAACCAAGAACUAUUCAAUUUUGUAUUUUUUGUUUGUAAUUCAAAAAAUGCAUCCACCAAACAUGCUUAUCUUGAUUUUCCCACUUUAUUCAUUUUCGAUGCUUUUCAAAAGAGGUUCCUUUACUGGUCAUUGUCUACACUAUCAAACAAGUUGAUGGAAAUUGAACCCAUUAAGUUAUGUUCAUUACUGGUCAUUGUCUUUCUAUGAGCCACUUAUUUGGAGCAUUAGCGAUCUUAUAAGGAAUCAUGCCUUUUCAGGAUCGUUUUCUUUCAUUUCCCUAUUGUAGUAGUUAAUUAAAUAAAGAACGAACAGCUGAACUUGGUCUAUUUCGAGGAAGACCAAGGCUUCCAAUACUAGAGGAACUUUGAAGAAAAUUAAUUGGAAACCUUUAUUCAUCUUUGAAGAAAAUUACGUGCCAAUGUAACGAAGGCUUUUAUUCAUCUUCGGACUAUGAAUUUGUACAAAAACAUUAACAGAAAAUAAUAAAGACACAGCUAAAUGAUAGCAGCAAGUGCUGAUUUAGUGAACCACUUCUACAAGUAAAUAAAAACUAAAUAUUUAUUUUGACUAUAACAACAACUACCCUCUUGAAUAGGACUCUACAGCAGCCACAUGACAACUAAUUUCUCCAUAAUAUUAUUAUUAGUAGAAGUAGAUUUUCAAAAUUGUCUUGAUAUAUUUCAAAGUUGUAUUAUCAGCGUAUAUGUAUCUAGAUUGUAACUAUAUUUUAAAAAAUAUAAAAAUUUUAAUUAUUGCACAGUAAUGUAGAACAAUAUCUACAAAAUAAUAUUGUUAGGACUAAGAAAAAAUAUUAUUUUAGAUAAGUUAUUUAUUUAUUAUUGAAUGAAAAAUUUAUCAUGAUAAAUGAAUAUUUAUUAAUUUAAAGAGAGAUUUUUUUUGGUUUUAAGAAGAGUUUGUUUGGUACAUGCACACACUAAUAAAGAAACACAAAAAGUGCUUCCUCAAGUCAAUAGUAUUUGCUUUAAUUGCUAAGGUGCAUAAUAACGUAGCUUAGUUAGGAAAUUUGUAAUUAUAUUAUGGCUCCGUUUGGUAUAAUUUUUUAACUAGAACUUAUUUAAGGAGGGCUUUUAUUAGUAGAGUUUUUAUAAAUAGAGAUUUAACAAAAAAAAUUAUAGUUAUUUAGUUGUCAAUGUACAAAUUGAUGAAUUAUUGUUCUUUUUGUUAACAUGUGUUUGUUUUACUUAAUAAUAAAAGUUUAGUUUACAACAUUGAAGUUCAGCAGAGCAUUUUUGCAGCCAGUCACAUUAUACAUUAUACUAAUAGCAUCGGCAAGAGUUUUCGAUUGUUGCAACUUGCAAUGCACACGAUGCGAGAAAAUGAGAAUCUUGUUUAAUUGCAAUAUUGACAAACCUAAUCCUUUCGUAGGGAGUAAUUUAAUAAUCGUUCGUUAGUUGAAGCGUUAAUUUAAUAAGCGUUGAUUUCCCUUCGAUAACUCGAAGUCCACGACGAUUCUUCUUCUUCUCUGCUGCUCAUUACGCUUCUACCCAAACCCUAGGAUUCAAACCUUUGCUUAGGAGAGAAUCAAAGCGAUUGGUGUUGGAGGUGAUUGAGGCUCUUAGAAGCUUAGAGGUGUGUUAAUUCAAAUUCUUUUGUCGAGAUAAGUAAUUUCAUUCCUAAUAUACUGGAUAUGUAUAAGUAUUUUGAUGUUAUUAUAAGAGUUUUUAUACUUCUUAGAAGAUUAAUAGAUUUUCAUACCAAAAUUAGUUUAUGAAAAUGUUUUCAAAUCUGAAUUCUUUUGAUAAAAUAUUUUACAAAUGCGUUUUAAUAUGUAAAUUAUUUUAUGACAUGACUGCCUUUUAUGAUUUUGUCUAUGAAAUAUUUUUGCAAGCCUAAAUUGUUGCUAUAGACUUUCAUGAAUCUAAUAUGAAUGUUUUGUGCCUAUGUAUGAUUUUAAUUAUUUAUGACUGUACGGGGGCCACCUCUUGAGAUUAUAUGGGGGCCACCUCUUGAGGGCCAAAGCGCCGCAAAGUGCCACAUAGAGUGCAAAGUGCCAUGUAUAAGUCAUUAUGUUUUGGCUCAUUGUCCGUAGUUAUUCUGAUUCUAAUUCUGAUCGUAUUAUACGAUAUAUUUGUUCUGGACUAGUACUAGGUUUAUGUUCUAAGUGUGCACACGAUAUUCUGAUUCUGUUUCUGGUCAGGUCACCGAGACUAUAGGUGAUACUAUGUGACAUGAGCUAACUAUCUGCUUUCUGUGUACACUUUAUACGAUUUGCUUUCAUAAUUGAUUAUUCUUUUGAUACUCUGAAUUACCAUGAAUUUAUGUUAUAUAAUUGAAAUAUGUUGUUUUAUGAAGUUUAUGACUUAUAAUAUAUGUUUUUGAAUAAAAGAAGGCUUGCAAUAUUUUUGAUAUCGAUAGGCCUAGUGUAUUAGGAAUGAUUUUACCUACCGAGUUGACAGCCCACCCCUCGUUAUUACUUUUUGCAGAUUAAGUUCCUUUUAAGAGGUAUGCGUAGCUUUGGAGUUAGAGAUUUCGUUUCCGUUUGCUAUUUGAAUAAGAAGAGGAAUAGACUCAUGUUUCUUUUUAGUUUAUUUCUGUUAUGAGCUUGUAAUUUGGAGUUUGAGACUUUUGUUAUUGUUAUGUUUUGGAAGAGAUUAUUUAGUGUUAGACGUAUUAAUUUGCGGAUUUAUUUGAAUAAGAAUUUGAGGUAUUUGAGCUUGGAAUUUAUAAGUAAGGAUUACGAUUUGUAAGUAACCUCAUUCUUCAUGUGCUCCGCACGUGUUAGAUUUGGGGUGUUAUAUGUUUCGUAUAACUUUUCAAGUAGAGCUUAUUUAAAUAGAAUAUUCGUCAAUAAAGCUUCUAUAAAUAUAGAUUUUACUAAAAAAAAUUUAGUUGUUUGGUUGUCAAUGUCCAAAUUGACGAACUUUUGUUCCUUUGCUAACAUGUAUUUGUUUUACUUAAUAAUAGAAGUUUAGCUUACAAUUACACCGGCGUCAAAUCAACAGAGCAUUUUGGCAGCCAGUCACAUUAUACAUUAUACUAAUAGCAUCGGCAAGAGUUUUCGGUUGUUGCAACUUGCAAUGCACGCGAUGAGAGAAAAUGAGAAUCUUUUCUAAUUGCAAUAAUGACAAACCUAAUCCUUUCGUUGGGAGUAAUUUAAUAAUCGUUUGUUAUAAUUGAAUAUGUAUAAAGAAAGGAAAAUUCUAUUCAUAGAUUUCGACUUAUUUUUUGUUUAAAGUAAUUAAUCAUUCAACCAUCUUCAUUUGCCUCUGGCCAGUGCCCUUGUAGAUUAGUUGAAGCGUUAAUUAAUUCAGAUAAUUACAACGUCCUUUUCGCUAAUUAAUUAUGAUUAUAUAUGUUUCAUAUAGCAAGUGGCUUUGUAGAUCUAAACCAAGUUGCUAUUUCAAAACGUUAAUUAAGUGAUUCUCCUCAUUGUCAUCAGCGUUAUACGCUCUAGGAAAAUAGCUCAAUUGUUUCCCUGCAUUGACUUUCAUUGGUAAGUGAUUUCUUAUGAAAUUCUUUUGAGCUUUCCUUAUUAAAAAAGCUUGAGCUUUUAUCACCUAAUGCGGAUAUCAAUUAACUUGUGAAUGAUUUUGCAAUGAAACUAGGAGUUAAAUAAGAUUUUUACAUGAUGAAUUUUUAUUUUUUUAAUUUUUUGAUGUAGUCAAUUUGCUAAUUUUAUGUAUUUCAUAUUCAACGGAAUUUGGGCACGGAAAGUUUGGAUUCUAAUAUUUAUAUGUUUAGCUUUAAUCAGUUUGACUUUCGUAAUCUUUUUCCCCUCAUCAUUAAGGGAUUCAGAAUUAGAGAAACGUUAGGAAGAGGAAGAAAAUAAUUUCGGAAAUAAGUAAGAGGGAAAAAAUUAUUAAAUUAGGAAUGAUUUUUUGUAGAGUAUGUUCCGUUUACUAAACUGAAAUCGAAAUGAGCUGGAAUCAGAAUGGAUAGAAAUGCGAAUGCGCUGGAAUGAGAAUAAGUAAUGAGAAUCAGAAUAAGUUGUUUACUUGAAUUGUAAGAAUCGAAAUCGAAAUGAGCUGGAUUGCAAUUACUUUGUCCUACAAUUAGAAUCGGAAUGAGUUAGAUUGUAACAAAUUACUAAAAGGUACUUAAUGAAUUAUUGUCAUAAUAUUAUUUUAUAUUUUAAUUAUAGUGAUUAUUUAUUCUAAAAUUAUUAUUAUUAAUUAUUUUCAAUAAUAUGUUAAUAUGUUAAUUAAUUUUAAAAAUUAUUAAUUAAUUUAUUAUAAUAAUAUACUAAUUAAUUAUAAUAAUUAUUAUAAAAAUAUAUUAAUUAUUAAUAAUGAAAUUACUUAUUUAAUUAUAAUAAUAUAUUAAUUAUUGUGAUUAUUUAUUCAAAAAUUAUAAUUAUUAAUAAUUAUUGUUAAUAAUGUAUCAAUAUAUUUUAUAUUAUGAAAUUGUGAUGUAUUGUAGACAAAUAAGGAAUUUGGUACAAUAAAUUCUUAAUAUCUUAGUACAAAGUAUGGUAAAAUGGUAUUUUAACUUAUUGUAGACAGAUUAAAUUUCGACACACUUAAUCCAUGAUAAAAUUAAUGGAAAAUAAUGAUAAUUUAUACAAUUAAUCUUUUGAGCAAUAAAAAAAUAAAAGAAAAAGAAGUUACUAAAUUAUGUUUACUGCUAAGAGUGAAUCCACAAUCCUAAAUAAUUAUUUCCAUCGUUUCACUUAAAUUAAAUAGUGUGAAUUUAAAUUCUAAUUUUUUGAUAAAUUAAAAAGAAAUAAAAAAUUAAAAUUUUUCUCUAUGGAUCGACCUCGGAUUGAUCAAUUUAUUUCAUAACAACACACUUUUAUACUUGAGAGUUAUAAAUCACUUUGAAGUUGUGUUAAGUUUUUGACGCUCUUACGGGGAAAAAAUAUUUAUUUUAUUUUAUGUAUGGGUCAAACUUGAAAGUAUAUUUUAAGAUAACUGCUAAUAUGCUCUAUUAGACAAUGAUAACCUAGUUGUUUGUGGUGUUCAUAAUGAGUUUAAUUAUGAUUAAACAAUUUAAAAUAUGAAAAAAUAUGGAAGAUGGCCGUAAUUAAAUUGAUUGCAUGAAAAUAUUUCAAUGAAAUUUUAAAAAUUUGGUACUUAUUAUCUUAUCAAAAGAUUUUUAAAUUAUAUUACUACUUCAACUUAACUCCUCCUGGAUUGAUUGUAUUGAAUUUCCAGCACUGCCAUUGCUUCUACUUGAAAGCCAUUUAAGUUUGUGUAAGCUACCUAUAGUUUGAAUAACAAUUUACUCAUGAAUUGCCGUUCAUGAUAACAAUUUGAUUGAAAGUGCGGCUCCACUAAUUGUCUAGAUGAUUUUUUCCCACAUGUUUGUUCUCGUACGACCCCAGAAUGCUGUUAUAUCAGUUGUAUUGGAAAUUAAUCAACUGGUUACAACUCUACACCCCAUCAAUAUUUAAGCAGUCUACAGAACAUUAAUUGUGUUUUGAAAUUUUAAUGAGUCUCACGUGUUUUUCACGUGAUAUGCAGUAAAAACAAAAUUAAAAAAAUGUGAACAUUCAGCCCCAAAAUCCCCAACUCCUUCCAAAUUGGUUCCGCAGCCCCCAAAUCCCUUAAACCCAAAUCACUCUAAAAAGACUCUCCUCAGCCAAAAAGAAAAAGGUCACCUCACCUCUCCUCUUCUUCUUCCAUGGCGAUCAACGGCGGCACAAGCACGGGCUGAUCUCCUUCGUCGGUAACGAUCAACGGCGGUACAAGCAUGGGCAGAUCUUUUUUUGGCAAUGAUCAACAGCGGCACAAGCACAGUCGUCCUCAGGUACGGAUUUGAUGUUGGUUGUGUUGUCAAGUAGCGAUUCAUGUUUGGAAGAGAAUCCGCUCGCAAGGACCUGGAGCACUUAAUCGAAGAUCUUAAGCGAGGAAUUCGCUUCCUCCUCAUUCCUAAUCGGUGCCUGGUUCAUCAGUAUGAUUAAGGAUGAAAAUUGAGAAAGAAGGACGCAUUAGGUUUGAGACAUUGGUUGAAAAGCGCUACCCCGGUGGCCACGCUGGAAACAUAUGUUCCGUGGCUUCUUGCGUUGUCUGUGAGGAAUAUGUACUGCUGUAGAAGAUAAUUAUGAAUCAAUGGUAAUUGGCGUGUUGGUUUUGGUGCCGAUUUCCUCUUAUUUUCCAGAAAAGGCUUGUAAUUUGUUCACCUCAAGAUUCAAUUUGUUAUUGAAAAUGGAUGGCUGUAAAGACCUACUGGCCUUUCAUUAUAUUAAUGUUUUUGACAGUAAGUUUGUAAUAGUUAGUGCAGGGAACUUAUUGAUUCUUGAUUAUAUAUAACGGUGGCCCUUAUUACUUUAAAAAAAAAAAAAAAAUUGAUGAUGGGUUUCGUUUUGUAUAAGUGUUUGGAGUGUUGGAAAAUGAACAUUGUAUAUUUUAGAUAGUUGAGUUCCAUAGUAGUGAAAAGCUACGGAUUUGUUUUCUUUGUAUUGAAAUGUGUUUUGACCAUUAUAUGUUGUUUGAUUGGUGAUAGUUUUAUGUUUGUCAGUUCCAGUAGUCUCUUAAUCGCCAUCUGGCAUGGAAACUCACUGUGAAUAUGUGAAGAAUGCAGUGAUCAUAAGGAGUAAAUGAACGAUCAAACAUGCUAAAAUUAAAUACCAAAAAAUAAAAUAAAAUAAAAUAAAAUUGGAACUGGAAGAGUAAAUAGCAAAAGAUUGGGCGAAAAUUGAAUACCAUAACAAAAAAAAAAUUAAAAUAAAUUCAAACGACAAGAGCUAAUUAAGAGCAAAAAGAUGCUUGACUUACCAAGAGCAAGGACCAAGCAAAUGGUUUUACAUUCGGGCUUGAUGGUGAACUGGUUGGAGAUGGGUACGAAUGUGAUCUCGUUGAGAUUUGGAGAAGAGAACGGGGGAAUGGCCACAAUAUCUUUGUUACUUUUUUUUUUAAACUUUAUUUUACUGUUGAUCACAUGAAAAUCACGUGCAAGUCAUUAAAAUUUCUAAACACAGUUACUGCUGUCGUUUCGAUGUUCUCGGGCUAUCACAUGCUCGGUACGUCUAUCACUACUCGUCAAAAAAAAUGACACGCGUUCAUUUCCAAGACGCGUGCCUUACUACCAUGACAUGAUUGAUGGCGCUUAAAUCAAUUGGUUUUUUUUUUUAAUUUAAAGAAUUUUUCAUUAAAAAAAUAUUUUAAUAUCAAAUUGCCUUCAAUGGCAUAACUGCCACAAGCCCAGUAACAGGACUAAGGGUACGUUUGAGAUUGAGGUUGGGCAGCUGUACCUUUUAAGCUACAACACUAAAGUGCUUGGUAAACACUAGCUGCUCUAGGUUGGAAGCUAUAUUAAUAUGAUUUUUCACUUGUAUAAUAGAAAAUAUAUUAUAUCUUUAAUAAUUUUGUCAAAUUUAUAUUUACUACAUAUUAUUAAUUUUUGUUUUAUAGUCACAGCUUUUUUUCCACAGCACCUGUAGCUUAAAAGAUACAGCACCUCAAUCCCAAACGCAUCCUAAUUAAAAAUUUUAGAAUUUUUGGGCAUGGAAUUGAAAAGAGUAGUAUUAAACAUCAGAAAGCUAAGGUUGUUCUGUUAAAGAAUUGAUAUUGACAUAAUUUUAUUUUGGUUUUUGGGGAAAAAAAAUUUGUUGACAAGCAAGAAAAUAUUUUUAUAUUUUACAAUUUAUUAUACAUAUUUUAUCGUAUUAAAGUAAUUUUAAUAAUAAAUAGAAGCAUAAUAUUAAAUAAAGUUUAAAUUAUUUUGAAUAUUAUAAAAAAUAAUUUUAAUAUUAUUAAUAGGAAGAUAUUUUGUUAAUUUUAAAAUCUUUUUAACCCAAAGGUUUAUUUAAAAUGUUUAUUAUAAAUAAAAAUAUAAAAUUAAAUAUCAUAAUUUAAAAUUUUUAAUAUUAUUUUAAGUAUUAAAAAUAUUUUAAUGUUAUUAGUCUGCUACAUAGAUCAUAUUACUUAUAUUAUAUUUGUAAUGACUAAAAAUUUUUAAAAUCAAAUUUUUUAGUUACUAUAUUUACGAGAUAUUAUGGUUAAAGAAAAGACCUUGGUGUUACUUUUUACAAAUUUGAGUGUCUGCAUGAUAAUUUUAUCAAAAUUUAAGAAUGUAUGUGUCCUUUUCUCCAAUAAUUUAUUUCACUUUUGAGGGGAAUCCAAUGAGAAAUAUGAUAAGAGAAUGUCAAUUAUUUGUCAUUUUCUAUUUUUUCUGUAAGCUAUUCAUUUUGAGCAUUAGUGAUCUUGUCUGGACUACUCCAAUUAUUGAUGUAACUCCAGUGGCUGCAUCCACAGUUGAAUAUAUGAUAGUGUUAGCUCUUAUUUGAGAAUUCAGAGGGAUCUUCUAUGUUUAUCAAUUGCAAUGUGCUAGUAUAAAUUUCUUUACCUCACAGUUUAUAUAGUCUUGCUGUUAAAGAACUCACUGAGGCAUUAUUGACUCAAUUUCAGUGGAGCAAUCGCGCGUAGUGGAUAAAUAAAGGAUAACAGAACAGAGCUGAAGUGCUAAAUUGGCUAUUAAAGAAGGGUGUCACAUGAUCACAAUCACAUUGGUGCACAACUAGAGUUAGGCAAAUUUUGUCUAUAUGUACUCUAAAUUCAGACAAACCAUACAUGCAUGAACAAAAAUUAAACCGUCGUUCUAAUCACAACAGUAAUUGAAGCUACAAAAGCCAGCAAAUCUGAACAAAGACUUAAAAGAAAGAUCUUAUUCAAGUUGUCCCCAAAAGACAGCUGAAAUGAAUAAUAUUGACUAUUGAUUGGGUCAAUGCUGAAUUACAUUUCAAUAGGAAAGCUUGGCAGCAGUUACAAUGUUUCCCCCUCUGAUUUUCGUCCAAAACAAAUUCAGUUGUAAACAACAAUCGAAGUAGAAAUAAUUUAUUCAUCAAAGAAAAUACCCAAGUUUUCAACAAACAAAUCUUCUUGUCUAAACUAAAAAAACUCAUCUCUAAAAUCUAUCUGCAAAAUAUUGGAAAUGAGGAGUGAUCCGUCAACUCCAUAAAUAAACUCAUGCAUAAUGUUAACAAUAAUGAUAAAUUACAUAAUAAUUAUUAUAAAGAAUCAUAAAUUGGAAACACUAAUCAUUCUACAAUCUAUUAUAUAAGUAAGAUAAAUCUCAUAAUAAGUUAAGUUAUAAUGUAAUAAAUAUUUUCAAUAUAUAAUUAUUUAAGAAGUCAUUUAACAAUAAAAUAUUUUUUUUAUUCAAUUGAUCAUAUAGCGUUAUCUAAACUCAUGACGAAAUUAUUAUUACUCACUUUUCUAAAAAAAACAUGAUUAACUUUUAGAGAAAAGUCAUGCCUUUUAGAAAGAAUAUUACCGUGACAAAAUUGAUGGUGAUUAAUUCUAUUUUUAAAAUAGAUUUAAUGCACAAAUAUGGUGACUUUUGGCAAAAAUUAGUUUCGGAAGAUAUAGUGGUAGAAAAUAGUGAUGAUUAUUGUUUAAAUGUGUAAAUAGCCGAAGCAUAGCCCGUGAUACCAAUAUCCAUUUGCACCUUCAUUUGGAUUAUCACAUUUCAUGAUAUUCUUUCGUUCAUGACCAUUGUUCAAGAUUUGAAUUUGAAUACAAAUUAAGCUGCAAGGGAGCUUACUUCGGUUUCUAAGCUUUUCAAUUGUGAUUCCUGCAUGCCUUGCUCUGAUACUAUUUUGUUACUUGCCAAUGUAACCAACCUUGUAAUUGGUCUGUAUAAGAAAUCAAGCCCUUUCAGGAUUGUUUUCUUUUGUUUCUCUAUUGUAGUAGUCAACUAAAUAAAGAAUGAACAACUGAACUUGAUCUAUUUUGAUGAAGACCAAGACCUCCAAUACUAAAUGAACUUUGAAGAAGAUUAAUCUACUGCUUUUAUUCAUCUUUGGACUAUGAAUUUAUACAAAGACUUUAACAGAAAAUAACAAAGACAUAGCUAAAUGAUAGCAACAAGUGCUGACUUAGUGGACCACUUCUACAAGUAAAAAAAGACUAAAUAUUUAUUUUGACUAUAACAACAACUACCCUGAUGAACAGGACUCCACAUCAGCCACGUGACAACUAAUUUCUCCUUAAUAUUAUUAUUAGUAGAAGUAGAUUUUCAAACUAGUCUUGAUAUAUUUCAAAGUUGUAUUAACAAUGUAUAUGUAUCUAGAUUGUAACUAUAUUUUUAAAAAAUAAAAUAUUUUAAUUAUUGCACAGUAAAUGUAGAAGAAUAUCUGUAAAAUAAUAUUAUUAGGACUAAAAAAAUAUUAUUUUAGAUAAGUUAUUUAUUUAUUAUUGAAUUGAUAAUUUAUUAAUUUAUUUCUAAAUGAUAUUUAUUAAUUUAAAGAGAGACUUUUUUGGUUUUAUGAAGAGUUUGUUUGGUACAUGUUUACACUUAUAAAGAAACACAAAAAGUGCUUCCUCAAGUCAAUGGUAUUUGCUUUAAUGGCUACGGUUCAUAAUAAUAUAGCUUAGUAAGGAAAUUUGUAAUUAUAAUAUGACUCUUUUAGUACAACUUUUCAAGUAGAAUUUAUUUAAGUAGAGAUUUUGUUAGGAGAAGUAUUGUUAAUAGAGAUUUCACAAAAAAAAUUUUAAUUAUUUGAUUAUAAUAUCCAAAUUGAUGAACUUUUGUUCUUUUGUUAACAUCUGUUUGUUUUACUUAAUAAUAAAACUUUAGUGGGUUUGGCUACAAAUAAAAGUUUAGUGGGUUUGGCUACAAUGCCGUUGGCAUUGUUCCCGGCACCAUGCCGGGCUCUAAAAAAGAGAGCCCGGCUGUCUUUGGCUGCCAUUUGGCAGCCAAAGACUUGGUGCAGCCGGUUAACAAACCGGUUGCACCAUAUUUUUUAAAAAAUAUAUAUUAAAAAUAGAAUAUAAAAAUGAAAAAAAUUAAAUAAAAUGUCAAAAAUAAUUUUUAUAAUAUAAUUAAUAGCAAAAGAUAAAGAAAUUAAAUUAUAUAAUACAAACCCUAUAGUACAAUAUGAUAUAAUUAAAUAAAAUGGCAAAAAAUAAAGAAAUUGAAAAUGAAAAAAAUUGUAUUUCAGUUUUAACGUUAGUUAUUGCAUGUCCGACGUCCCGAUUUCAUGUUUGACAUAAGAAGUUGCAUGUUUUGGAUAAAACCAAAAUAAAGAAUAUUCUGGAAUAUUCUCGUCUGUUUCAUGUUUGACGUCAAAGUUGCGAACUUUACGUGGUAAGUUGCAUAUUUCGCGUGAAGUAUUGCGAGUUUCAUAUUUAACAUCAGUUGUUGCAUUUUUUACGGUUGGAUUUCAUGUUUGACGUACGAUGUUGCAUGUUUUGAAUAAAGCCAAAAUAAAGAAUAUUCCGGAAUAUUCUCGUCCGUUUCAUGUUUGACGUUGAAGUUGAGAACUUUACGUGGUAAGUUGCAUAUUUCGCGUGAAGUAUUGCAAGUUUCAUAUUUAACGUCAGUUGUUGCAUGUCGAACGUCACGGUUGCAUGUUUGACGUAAGCUGAUGCAUGUCUUGAAUAAAGCCAAAAUAAAGAAUAUUCUCGAAUAUUCUCGUCUGUUUCAUGUUUGACGUUGAAGUUGCGAACUUUACGUGGUAAGUUGCAUAUUUCGCGUGAAGUUUUGCAAGUUUCAUGUUUAACGUCGGUCGUUGCAUGUCGGACGUCACGGUUGCAUGUUUGACGUAAGCUGAUGCAUGUCUUGAAUAAAGCCAAAAUAAAAAAUAUUCUCGAAUAUUCUCGUCUGUUUCAUGUUUGACGUCGAAGUUGCGAACUUUACGUGGUAAGUUGCAUAUUUCGCGUGAAGUUUUGCAAGUUUCAUAUUUAAUGUCAGUUCUUGCAUGUCCGACGUCCCGAUUUCAUGUUUGACAUAUGAAGUUGCAUGUUUUGGAUAAAACCAAAAUAAAGAAUAUUCCAGAAUAUUCUCGUCCGUUUCAUGUUUGACGUCGAAGUUGCGAACUUUACGUGGUAAGUUGCAUAUUUCGCGUGAAGUUUUGCAAGUUUCAUAUUUAACGUCAGUUGUUGCAUUUUUUACGGUUGGAUUUCAUGUUUGAUGUACGAUGUUGCAUGUUUUGAAUAAAGCCAAAAUAAAGAAUAUUCUCGAAUAUUGACGUUGAAGCUGCGAACUUUACGUGGUAAGUUGCAUAUUUCGCGUGAAGUAUUGCAAGUUUCAUAUUUAACGUCAGUUGUUGCAUUUUUUACGGUUGGAUUUCAUGUUUGACGUACGAUGUUGCAUGUUUUGAAUAAAGCCAAAAUAAAGAAUAUUCCGGAAUAUUCUCGUCCGUUUCAUGUUUGACGUUGAAGUUGCGAACUUUACGUGGUAAGUUGCAUAUUUCGCGUGAAGUAUUGCAAGUUUCAUGUUUAACAUCCGUCGUUGCAUGUCGGACGUCACGGUUGCAUGUUUGACGUAAGCUGAUGCAUGUCUUGAAUAAAGCCAAAAUAAAGAAUAUUCUCGAAUAUUCUCGUCCGUUUCAUGUUUGACGUCGAAGUUGCGAACUUUACGUGGUAAGUUGCAUAUUUCGCGUGAAGUUUUGUAAGUUUCAUGUUUAACGUCCGUCGUUGCAUGUCGGACAUCACGGUUGAAUGUUUGACGUAAGCUGAUGCAUGUCUUGAAUAAAGCCAAAAUAAAGAAUAUUCUCGAAUAUUCUCGUCCGUUUCAUAUUUGACGUUGAAGUUGCAAACUUUACGUGAUAAGUUGCAUAUUUCACAUGUAGUGUUGUAGGUUGCAUGUUUAACGUUCGUUGUUGCAUGUCCGACGUCCCGAUUGCAUGUUUAACGUAAGAUGUUGCAUGUUUUGAAUAAAGCCAAAAUUAAGAAUAUUUCAGAAUAUUCUCGUCUGUUUCAUGUUUGACGUCGAAAUUGCGAACUUUACGUCAUGAGUUUUAUAUUUCGCGUAAAGCGUUGCAGGUUGUAUGUUUAACGUUAGUUAUUGCAUGUCCGACGUCCCGAUUUCAUGUUUGACGUCGAAGUUGCGAACUUUACGUGAUAAGUUGUAUAUUCUACGUGAAGUGUUAAAUGAAUUUUGUUUUAAAAAUACAGUUUAACCUCAAAACUGUAUGAAACUAUGUUAUGAUCCAAAACGUUAUAAAAAUUUUCAAAUUGGUCCAAUUUUAGAAUUUCUAAUUAUUACUUUAUUAAACUCAAAACUUUCUGAAAUUAAGAUAUGAUCCAAAAUAUAAGAAAUUAUAGAAUGACCCAAAACAUUUAAAUAUUUUGAAAUAGGUCCAAAUCCGAAAUUUAAAACAAUAAUUUAUUAAAAUCAAAGAUUAUGAAAAACAACUUAACUCCAUAAAGACAUAUUCUUAUUGUUAAAGCACAAUACAUAAAUCUUUAUUUAAUCAACACAUGUGGUUUGUUAUCGAAAUCUCAAUACAACACAUUAGUCCAAAAUUAUCCAAAGCAUACGGAAAUAACAUAUUAUCCAUGAAAUAUCAAACAAUCAAAACAAAUCCAUGUCAUUCAAAACAAAUACAUAAUCCAAAAUCAUAAUGAAAUGUAGGUGUGUCCAAAUACAAGCAUAAGAGACUACUAAGGUGGUGAGGAUGGUGGUGAUGGAGGUGGAUACGGAUAUGGAAUGCCGAAGUGCUCAAAGAGGAGGCGCUGUCCAUGAAUAAACUGCUGCUGCUGGUGGUGAAACUCAGUCUGCCACACAGAGAGUGUCCUCACCUCAUCCAUAAGCUGCUGAAGAGUAACUUCUUCAAAAGUAGGAUGCUCGGGAUGUGGUAAAGAAGGUGCAGAGGCUGUAGGAGCCGAGGGAGAUACUGAAGGAGCUCGACGUCUACGCUGACCCCGAAAUGAAAGUGCAAAAACAGGUAGCUGAUGGGCUGGAACCACAGCAUUAAGUGGUCGAUCAUCACUUGGAGCAAGAAAGGUGAACUUUUUAUCAGUGACUUUUACCCAAGUGCCAUUACGACACUCAAAACCUAAAGAACUAACAGCCUCAUCCCCAAUGCUCUUAGACGGCCUACAUGAUGGUUCUUGGAUAGUGACGCUAAAGUAUUUGAGGAUUCGGGUGAUGAAAUGACCAUUCAGAAGGGAACGAGUAAUCAACUUAGGUAUACUAAGCAUGUUUCGGACAAUGGUGUAUCCUAAGUCGACUGGACGAUGUCUAAGAAUACAAUCAAUCAAGGCAACAUCCAUAUGAGAAACCUCAUCCAAAUGGCCUGAUCUAUGAAGCACAAUACUCUGAAUAAAACGAAGUAAUAUCCGAGUUUGAAGACAAAGACAUUGGGUGCGAAAAUGGAUAGUACAAUCAUCAUCCGAAAGAUCAAUACGACGACAUAUAUUCUUAACAGCAUCAAUAUGAACAUAAUCAUCAAUAUCAGGAGGUUUCCUAGGUGAAAAAAUUUCUAGGCCAUCAUCGGAAGUUCCUAGAAUAGAGUUCAACUCCGAAUCAUCAAACUCAAUCGAAACUCCUUCAACUGUGGUGAUUACUCGAUUCUCUUUCUCCGCGGAACAAUCCAUAUUCGAGUAAAACACUUUCACCAAGUCGGGAUAUACAUUUUCCUCAAAAACAAUUGAAUUAAGCCAACCAACAUCUUCCAACAAUUGCAAUAAAGUUCUAUUACUAAUACUAAGAUUAUUCAACCAAUCCGGUAAAACAAAAAAGGUUUGGAGUACCUCACGAGUCAUGAACUGUUGGUGAAAUCGUUUGGCUAGAUGUUUGUGGUUCUGAAAGUGUCUGGCCUCAAAGUUGGAUUUAUUGGAUGUGCCCCCUGCUUGUCGUGACCGGUUGGUAUGUUGAACCGGUUCUUUGCCUUUUCUUCGAAUCGGCCGUGAGCUUGACAUGGUGAAUUUUUUUGAUUUGAAGUGAAAUAAAUCAAUGAGAAGGGAGAUAAUAAGGAUGGAAAGAGAUUUUGAGAAGCAAUUUCGAUCAAAAACGGCUUCAGAGGGGGAAAUCUAGAGAGAGAAGUUUCGGCUUAAACCAUAGAAUUGAUUUCGGAUCUAUUGAUUUUGAGGUUCAAAAAAGGUUUGAAGGAUGAUUUUGGAUACAAGAACGGAUGGGAAACAAGUUUCAUGGAUCCAUUUGCAUAAAAAACCUGUGAAAAUGAUGGAUUUUGGAGAGAAAACGAGAGAGGAAUAUUCGGUUUUAGAGAGAGAUAGCUAACCGGUUUACCGAAAGAUAAAGGAGGAGAUGAACAGUUUAUAUACUCGCGAAUCCGGCUAUCCGGAAAUUAUUAACCGGCUAACCCAUUGUAGGCAGUGACCUACCCACGCGAAUUCAGAUUUCCGGUUUGAAUAACCGGCUAUCCGGUUUCGUCUCCAAGAAAAAACAGCAAACUGCCUCACUCGGCUGAGAUAAAAAAAAACCAACUGUGAUAGGGAAUGCAUAAUUUGUUUGAAAGAUGAAGUUUCACUUGAUUUCUUGCCAUGUGCGUACCAAGUUUUGUGUGCCAGUUGCAGUGUCAAAAUUAUCAUAGUUUGUCUUAAGAAGUCUGAAAGAUUAGAAAAAGAGAUUGCUAAGUUCAAGAAAUGAAAGUGAGAUAAAAUUACUUGUGUCGCUUCUUGUGUCUUCCCAUUGUUUAAUUCUGAUAUUGUUGCUUACUAAAUUAACAAAGAAAGACCAGCACAAUGACUGCUGAUGAAUACUUUGAGAAGCAUCCAGAGCUAAGGAAAGAAGUUUGAUGAUGAAAUCCGGAAUGAUUAUUGGGGAUAUUAAUUCAGUCAUGUGCAUUCAGUUAUCGGGAACAUCUUCUUUCAUGCAGACUCUCGAGUUCAUCCCAACCACCAUGCUGUUUUGGUGCAUCAUAACAAGAAUAAGCCAAUUGUUUUACUCCAUUUUGGUUGAUUUGACUAUCACAAAAAAUUCCAUGAUAUUUGGACAUUACUCAGAAUCUAGCUAUAAUAAUUUCUCUUUUCUUAUUUGCCAAAUUUGCAUUAAGAUUUUUUUAGAAGAACUUUUAUGUUUUCACAUUCAGAAAGAGUUAAAGCAAAGCAAUUGCAGUAGCAGUGUGUAUGGAAUUUGUUGAAUGGAUCCAUUUGAAAGUCCAUUUUUUAUUCUUUAAUGUAAUAUCUAAUAUUAAAAAAAUCUUAAAACAAAAAUAUGAAUGAAUUGAAAAAUCAAAGUAGUAUUCCACAUUCCCAUGUAAAAAUAGAUUAACGACACCACUUUAAGAAAAGCUAAAAAUAAAAAUAGAUAUAUAUUAUUAAACAAAAUGAAAGUUGGAACUUACAAAGAGCUAAUAUUAUUACUUUAAUCUUCUAGUAUUUAGAGUUCAUCUUGUGGCUGAUAUUAUUGCUUGGCUACGUGAAACCAUUUUAGUCUUGUCAACACUAUCUUGUGGCUGAUAUUUUUUAUUGAAAUGCUCUUCAUCCACCAACUUGGUUCUUGUCAGUUUGCUUGGUAACUUCUUCUUGUUUGGUUUUGGUGCAUUAUUUAUCUAUUCACUCGUUAGUCAGACACUUUUUUUUUGUAUUUUUUGUUUCUACGCACAAGACUGAUAAAAUUAAAUGGGCUUAAUCUUUUGUCUUCCUAAUAGCAAUAUUCAAUAUUUAUUUAGUAAUAUUUCUAGAACUCUAAGAAAUAACUGGAUUUAAAUUUUAUGAAUUAUAUAUUGUGCUAAAAGCACAAAGACAAUCAUAUGAGUGUAUAUUAUUAUUAAAAUUAAACAAUUGGAUUUAACCUCCUCUUCAUACAAUUCAUAUACAUUGGCUCGCUCUCGCUCUCUUUUCUACAUGCAUGUGUCAUUUACAUUUAGGUAUUUGUAUGCGCGUAUAUUAUUAUAAUGUAAUCCCUCUAAAAAAUGAGACCAAUCACAGUCCAAACAAAAAAAAGAAAGAUAAAGAAAAGUUAAUACUUUAAUGGCAUUGUUAAUACGUCACAGUAAUCAUGUCCCUCGAAUCCGGAUAACUGGAUUUAACAACCGGUUAUCCGGAUGUUGACUGCAAGCAACAUGCUUGCUGUCACGCGAAUCCGGAUGACCGGAAGUCAACAACCGGUUAUCCGGAUGUUGACAGCAAGCAUGUCAAUCGAAACCGGAUAACCGGAUUUCCUAACCGGUUUUCCGGUUAUUGCAUGUCCUGUAUAAAGUUUAAAAAAAAUAAAGGUAAAAUUACCACGUUUGGUUGGUUAGGUUUGCAAUAAAUAUGAUGAAAAAAAAACUCACCUUCCCUCCAUUAAUGAGGGAUUAUCCUAAGGCUCAUGUCCAAGACUUCUUCACAAAAAACACAGUCACUCCAAAACAUAGUCCCAAAUACUAUUACUGCGGUCUCGUUCAACAUCUAUGGUGCCUAGUUUUCAACUUUUCAAAAGUUAAGUUUCUCUCCAACAAAGGUAUGUGUUGUAAUUUAAGUAGUUGAUUUGUGCUCCCAUAGAUGGUUUCAGAAAUAUUAUUAUAUUAAAUUAUUAAGAUAAAGGGUGUGAAUUAUGUUAUUAACAAAGUUUUGGUUGAACAGGGGUUAAAUAUGAGUAGCCCACAUAGUUCCAGCAACCUAGGAAUAUCCAUUGCUCCAAAUGUUGGUUUACAGGUAUCGGACGUACUUGGCAGUCAUUUCGACUCAGUAGAAGAUGCAGAACUGUGGUAUAACAAUUAUGCCCGAAUGCUUGGUUUUGGUGUUAGGAAAGAUGAUAUGCGGCGCGGAAAAAAGUCUAGACGAAUCACAAUUCGACGUUGGGUUUGUCAUUUCGAAGGGGUAAGAGAUGAAAGACAAUCUCAAAACUGCAGUAGGGUGCAGAACCACGACCUAUAACACGAACCGAGUGUCGGGCAUCAUUUCGAGUGAAUUACGAUGAUUCAGUUGGUAAAUACAUCGCCAAAGAAUUCAGGCCUGAGCACAACCAUCAUUUGGCUUCUACUAAUGGAGUUCAUCUCAUUCGUUCACAUCGAAAGGUUACUGAUGCAGAACUUGCGCAAGCAAAGGCAUUAAGGCAUGUUGGUGUGAAGACUUGCCAAUUCAUGGAUUACAUGGCUGAUCAGGUAGAGGGGCCUCAAAACCUAAGGUUCACACGCAAAGACAUGCAAAACACGCUAGAUGCUUCCACUCGUGCCGAGGUUGGAGAUUCUGACUCAGACACAACUAUAGCAUACUUUGCGGCAAAAUCUGAACAUGACCCUGGGCUUUGCUUUGAGUACACACUAGAUGAUGAAAAUAGACUACGAAAUUUGUUUUGGGCUGAUUGUGUAGCUCGUUAUGACUAUCAGUGUUUUGGUGAUGUGUUGGCAUUCGAUGCAACGUAUAAGACUAAUGUAUAUCAUAAACCCCUCGUUACACUUGUCGGAACAAACCAUCACUUCAGAACAACGGUCUUCGGUUUUGCUUUGCUCGCAGAUGAGACAAUUGACUCAUACACGUGGCUGCUACAAACUUUUCUAUCCACUAUGGGCAACCGAAUGCCCGUGUCUGUAAUUACUGAUGGUGACAAGGCAAUGUCGAAGGCAAUAAAGACAGUGUUUACCGGGUGCAUCCAUCGUCUUUGUUGUUGGCAUCUUGAGCGCAAUGCGCAGGCUAAUUUGAAGAACGAAGACUUUACGAGAAAAUUUCGUGAUUUGAUGUUGACACCUAUGACGGUAACUGAAUUUGAAACCCAAUGGUCAGCUGUAGUGGCUGAAUUCGCACUUGAACAUCAUGCAUGGGUACAGAAAAUGUAUUCAAAGCGGUGCAAGUGGGCGGAAGCUUAUCUUAGAGGAACAUUCUUUGCUGGUAUGCGAAGCACUCAACGAUGUGAAAGUAUGAAUGCAUAUCUUAGCCGAUUUGUCCAACAUAAACUAAAAUUGUAUGAGUUUGUGCGACAAAUCGAUCGUGCUCUCCGCAAUAUUCGUACCACAGAAACAUCCGAUGAGUUCAAAACCAAAUACAGUACUCCUGUCUUAAGAACUCACUUACAGAGCCUCGAGAAACAUGCUGCACAAUUGUUCCCGUUAAGAGUUUUUUCGAAGGUUAGAGAUGAGAUGCUGCGAGAAAGAGCGGUCAUCGAAGUAAAAACUGUCAAAGCUGUCGAUGUUGCAUUGUACACAGUGACUGAAUUUAGGACACCUACAACAUGUUGGAAUGUCAUCCACAAUCUACAAGAAAACCACAUACAGUGUUCGUGUCAAAUGAUGGAGUUUGUUGGGCUUCCUUGUAGGCAUAUGUUUCAUGUCUUGAAAGUGGAACAAAUUGAAAAGAUUCAUGACAAUAUGGUUUUUCGUAGAUGGACAAAAAAAGCCAAGGAGCACAAUACUUGCAGGACCACAAAACCAGAAGUUGACACUGAUGUUUCAGAGAUGGCUAGAUUUAGUGCAUUGUCUGCAGCCUGCAAUAAAAUGUGCUACAAUGCAGCAAAAAACGUUGAAGCCUAUGAAAAUGCAUUGGUAGAAAUCAAUCGGCUAACAUUAACUUAUGAACAACAAUCUGAACGAGACGGUCUCCCAAAUAAAAAAUUGCGGAUGGGAACAAAACUUCGUAAUCCUGCAGUUGUAAAAACCAAGGGCGCUAUGUCUAAAACAAAAUGUGUAGCAGAAAGCUCUAGAAAGUGUGGAAAAUGUCGUCAGGUUGGGCAUACAACACGAACUUGUUCUAUUCAAGGGAAUGAUAGCACCCAGCUAAGGUAUGUCCCAAGUUCUUUAUCAUGUGUUUAAUUAUUGCAUUGUUGGAUAUUUCAUUGCAAAUAACUUUCAUGGUAUUGAUUUAGUGUCGAUGGAAACUGUUUUGCCGCAUUCGAUUCAUCAAGCACCCAGAAUCUUGGAGCCUCUACUGGUGUCAAUCCAACAUUGUUAGGUCAUGCAAGCAACCAAUUUUCAAAUGUUUUUUAUUGGUGGCCUCAUUAAACAAUGCCAUUAAAAUGACUCAAUAUGUAUUACCAUUUGAAUUCCACUAUCAUGUACUAACAUGACAACCAGUUUAAUAUCAAAUGAUGAGAUGUGAACACUGUUAACAUGCAUAUGUUCAUUAUAGUUAAAUUAUGUCUCGGCCAAGAAUACAUAACCAUGUCAUAAAUUUAAAGAUAAUUCUCCAUUACAAUUGAUUUUACAACCAUCGUAAGCAAGAAGACAAAAAAAUUCACGGUAUUACCUCCCAACAUGUUUCAAACAUCUUACAACAAAAAAUAGUAUGCAAUCACUUGCAUAAUCAUUCCCUACUAUAGUUCGAUAUCUAAGCGCGUGUUCUCGUGUUAACUUUCUUCUUCUUACGAAUGUUGCCGCUUUGUUGGUGAAAUGACUUUUGCACUUGAGAGGAUACAGGGUUCACCAUUACAGCAUGAAUCGCAAACUGUGCAUUGCUUAGUUCCAGCAAUUUAUCUCGAUUUUGAUUCAAUGCAGAAUUAAUUAGUUGAAUGGCUAGCCUACCUCGUGUAUCCUCAGAUGUGAACUAGUCAAUUUGAAAGGAAACCAAUAUUACUUUCAUAUAAUAAGUAGCUUUUAUAUAAUUAUGAAGUUAACAAAAUUCUGAGUUCAACAAUUAAACAAGUUUGGCAUAGUCGUACCAAAGUGGACGAUUUCUUCGGAAUAAAUUCUGGGCUGUCCAUAUAGUUUAUCACAUAAACCCCACAGUCAUAUCCAUUCCUUUGCUUUGGAACUCCAAUGCCCCGGUUGAUUGGAAAGUCUUGAAACUUCAUGUGUUGCAUAUUGCUUGGCAAUUGGGGCUGCAUAAUCCAAUCCAAGGAAUGUAGCUGUCGGCAAUGUUGAAAACCAGACAAUAUUAUAGAUAUGAAUAUAACACAAUAUACAUAACUGAUAAUGUUAAAUAGAUAACAAAAAUAAAGAACAUGAUUAAGAUACAAUGCGCAUGGCUUGAUCGUGCCGUCUUCUAUUACUGCGGGGAUCUGGAAGAGGAUCCCAUAUUUCUGCACUUGUAUUUCUGACAUUCACGAUCAGUAGGUACCAAUGAGAUGAUUCAUCAUUUAUUGGCACAUAAAUCUAACAUUUCAAUUGUCAAUGUCAUACACCAAGCACACUAGUAGAAACUGAAAUAAGUUAAAGGUUAACAAACUAACCUUUUGACACUUAUGCACCUGUUGCAUAAAAUUCUUUCCACAUCUAGCUGCCCUUGCAAAACAAUCCACCUCAUCUCCGACCAUUAAAACUGCUUGCUACACAUAAUAAAGACAACGUUGAAUAAGGAAGUUGUCAAUAAAGAAACCAAAGCACAAUGCAACAAGUACCGGCGAGACUCACAGAAUAUCUUGUUGGUAAAUACCAGUUCAUUGGCACAUCUUUCUCCACCACCUACUGAAUGAGGGUGAGGUGAUGCGCUUUCAUAGAAAUCACCUAAAAGUGAUCAUAUUUAUUGAGAUAUAUAAUAACAUGUAAUAAACGAUAAACAUAUAUUGUGACAUCACCAAAUGUUGAAACCUAAUACCUCGCCACAUAGAUAAGCCCCCGGCAAAAGAGUCAAUAAAGAAUGCCGAUUAAGAAUUUCGCCGCAACUAGAAACAAUGAUUUCACUAAAGAUAAAACACGGUAAUUUUUUAGUCGUAUAGCAUAACAACUAUAUACAGAAAACUAAUUUCAGUCUUCUGAAUUUAACCUUCCCUCUGCGUCCUUGUUAAAAGCAUAUUGAAUAAGCUUCAAUUCUUCCAGCGUAACUGGAUCAUUGACUUGAAACGGACCAGCUUUAUACUUGGGAUUUGCUCCCCUGGACACUUGAUCGUACGGUGAAAGUUGAUAUCGGCCUGGCCUACGAUUCCUACUUGGUCGCGUUGGCAGGACACUGAGACUAGUAGAUGUUUGAGGUUCUUGCUUAAGUUGAACUGGUUCAUCUAUAUCCUUUAUAAAAAAUAAAUUUAUAUGUAAGUUACUUCAUAAGUGAGUUAUCAUUGAAAUCAUUUUAAGAAAACGACGUUAUAAAACUGUACCUCAUCUCGGAGAUUAGGUGGUGGAAUAGGGACAAAGUGGGUAGGAUCUUUGCGAAAUUCACCGAUUCCUUCUCUUGUCCCCAUCCAGCCCAUUAAUUUAUCGAGGCUCAGGUUCAAUCUGCGAUCCACAGAGUCCUCGUCGCUAUCCAUUACCAUUUUGUUUUUUUCCAUCAGUAGUUGGCUCGGUUUUUCUGACUGGACAUGUUGGUUCUACUAUUUUCAAGCUCGGAGAUUGCGGGCAUGGAUCAGAUGGUUGUUUUGAUAGUGCACCAACCGGAGACUUGGAUCUCAAUUCCUCCAAAGACUUCUCAACCAUUUCCAUUCUCACAUUGAAUGAAUCCAUUUUGUGUUCAAUUCUGUGGACACACUGUGUUAGUACCCUAAAAGCUUCCUCCAUAUUAACAGUGCUCGGCCCAACAUCUUCGGUUUGUUCAAAAUGAGCGAAAUUUCUUUCGAGCUGCAGAAAAUUUGAUUCACGCAUUGGAACCUAAAAUAAAUAUGCACAACAAUCAUACAUAAUGACAAUCAAAAUAUAUUCAAUUAACCGUAAACAAAAUUAAAUACAUGUGUGAACAAGACAAAAAAUAAAACAAACCUCAGUACUGGUCAUGUCCCCAAACUUUUUCCGCCAAUUCAAUAAGCGCCGAAUCUCUUCCUUGGUCCAUACACUAACAGGGCAAACUGUUCUGUCCAUGGAACACCGAUCAUAUAAAACAGCACUAAAGUAGAACAACUGUACAUUCAAAAAACAAUUACUACGUCAUUUUAUUUUUCGUAUUUGGAAAAUUAAUUAUGGCAUCUAAGAUUUCUUAAAUAUACCUCUAAAAACACAACACAACCACUAACUGACUUCACUUGAUUAUCUUUAUACUUCGCUAUGCCCUCCCACAGAAAGUUGAAACACCAUGUAGCCCAAUUCUUUUUCCUAAUUAAUUGCACAUCUUUUAGGGAAUGCAGAUACAUCGGAUUGAUGUAGCUGGCACUUGUGGGACACAAUACAGUUCCUAGAAGAAACAAACAAAACAUGAUCUUAAAGUCAUCAUCACUACUCUCACUAGCUAUUAUUCUUUCACUAACUGCGGCUAUUUCAAUUCCUCUUCCACUUGUUCUAUACUUGGCACGCAGUUCAAUUAUAUCACCCGCUUCUUCUCGGAUGUAUACUGGUUCCCCUCCAUCUUUGAUCCCCAUUACGAUGCUGAAGGUUGUAGGGUUUAAACAAAACUCUCUCUCGUGCAAAACUAUACAGUGCCUCUUUGUAUCACAUUGUUGGACAAGUGUUUCACAGAAGUCUUGUCUCAGGCGACCACAUCGUAAUUCUAGCAUGCUUCCGAAGCUAAUUUCUCUAAUUGCAGCUUGUUGGUCGGCCGAUAGUGUGGAAAUGACCUUAGUGAGUGCACUGACACGACAACGAGAUAAAUUACAUUGGCUAUGCUUAUCCCCAAUUUUUUGUUCUUCAUCUUGUUUUUCAAUACUCCUUUCACCAACAUUUGAACUUGGGUCCUCAUGCAUCGUACCAAAUCGGCACUUCUCCUCAUUCGUUAAUUUCUUCCAUUUUUCAACAAUUGUCGCCCUACAAACUUUUUUGAUCCCUUCUUGCCUGACCUUUUCUGCUUCAUGCUUACUGUACACAACAUUUUAGUUCAACUAAUUACGUCAACAAAAUUGUUAUAAUAAGAACCUUAUUCAAAGCAAUAAUUUUAUACUUACAAAAAGUGUAUCCACGCUCUCUGACCAGGUCCUCCCCUUCUGCCUUAUGUGGACUCCAUUUUAUAACUGUAUGCUAUAUUUUAAAUCCUGAAAUAGACCACACAUAAAUGUAGUAUCAAGGCCGGACCCAUAACAAUGGCUAAGUUCUUGGCAAAUUAUUGAGCGCUCAUCUUUAGUAUUCCUACCAAAGACUGUAGAGCUCAAAACAAGCAAACAACACCUAAAACCAAACAAGAAAAAUUUAGGGUUCCCAUAGAAAAAUAACACUUAAAAACCAAAUCUCAAAAAAUCAACCACAAAAUAGAAAUAAAUUAAAAAAUGCCAUUGAAUUUUUACCAACUAAUGCCAUUGAAACCACGCAAAACCAUGGGAACAUUGCAUCCCCUUCUAAAUAUCUUUCUUCAAUUUAAUGCUUGAAUUACAGUACAUCAAUCAUAUCAGGAUUGAGGAUUUUCUUGCCAAUUUCAUGCUUCCAAGCCAUUAAUCAUCUCUUCAACAUCAAUUUUUCAUCAUCUAAAUAUCUUUUUUCACUCUAAAUUACCAAACUUCUAAUUGUUUCAAAUCUCUAAUUAUUUCACACAAAAUUUAUAGUACAUCACAAAAACCACAAAGGUCAAAAUUACCUCAUCACCUUCUCGUUAACUCACAAAAUGAAAAGGAAAGAGAGGAACUUGUGUUCAUCUUCAACACCUCAGGAUGACAGCGACCGCUUCAUGGAUUCCACUUCUUAUUUGCUUUGAACGAGAUGGUGCCUUUGAUCUUCUAUGAUUACUAAACAAAUAGAAGAGAGAAAUUUGAGAGAAAUUUGUGAUUUCAAAGUGAGAUGUGAGAGAUUGGGAAUGGCCUGGGUGAAACCCUCAAAAAGCAAAAUUUUGUUUUGCAAGCUUUGGGAACCGGUUUAAUAAGUUAACAAUUUUUUCCUCUUUUUUAUUUCUUUUCAAUCUCAGCCGUUGGAUUCAUUUUACUUGAAUCCAACGGCUGCGUUUACAAGCCGGCACAAUGCCGGGCCUCAAUGCCCGGCAUUGUAGCUUUAGCCAAGUUUAGUUUACAAUUACACCGGUGUCAAAUCAGCAGAGCAUCGGCAAGAGUUUUCGAUUGUUGCAAUUUGCAAUGCAUGUGGUACAUGCACGCACUAAUAAAGAAACACAAAAAGUGCAUUCUCAAGCCAAUAGUAUUUGUUUUUAAUCGCUACUUUGCAUAAUAAUGUAGCUUAGUUAGGAAAUUUGUAAUUAUAUUAUGCGUCCGUUUGGUAUAACUUUUUAAUUAGAACUUAUUUAAGGAGAACUAUUGUUUGUAGAGUUUUUAUAAAUAGAAAUUUUAAUUAAAAAAAAUUAUAAUUAUUUAGUUGUCAAUGUCCAAAUUGAUGAACUAUUGUUCUUUUUGUUAACAUGUGUUUGUUUUACUUAAUAAUAAAACUUUAGUUUACAAUUACACCGGUGUCAAUUAUACUAAUAGCAUCGGCAAGAGUUUUCGAUUGUUGCAAUUUGCAAUGCACGCGGUGAGAGAAAAUGAGAAUCUUGUUUAAUCCUUUCAUUAGGAGUAAUUUAAUAAUCGUUUGUUAUAAUAGAAUAUGUAUAAAGAAAGGAAAAUUAUAUUCAUAGAUUUGGCUUAUUUUUUGUUUAAAGUAAUUCAGAUCAUUACAACGUCCUUUUCGCUAAUUAAUUACAACGUCCUUUUCGCUAAUUAAUUAUGAUUAUAUACAUUUUCAUAUGGCAAGUGGCAUUGUAGAUCUAAACGACGUUGCUAUUUCAAUACGUUAAUUAAGUGAUUCUCCUGAUUGUCAUCAGCGCUAUACCCUCUAGGAAAAUAGCUCAAUUGUUUUCCUGCAUUGAUUUUCAUUGGUAUGUGAUUUCUUAUGAAAUUCUUUUGAGCUUUCCUUAGUUAAAAAGCUUGAGCUUUUAUCACCUAAUACUGAUAUCAAUUAACUUGUGAACGAUUUUAUACCCUCUCUUUUUUUUCUUUUUUUUUAAGUACUCUGUUGAAAGCCAAAGUUCCUUUGGCCAGUUAAUUUAGAAGUGAAGGAAAGAAUAAAGUUAGGCCUCGACGUCUUUUGAGAUUAGAAAUACAUUUUGAAUGCUUUAAUAGAUGCAGAGCAAACUGGCUCGAUAUCUAACUAUUUUAAGAGCUAAAAUCAUUUAUUAGAAGUUGUAGCAUUAAAAAAAAUGGGCUUGAUAUCCAAUUUUGUUAUUGAAUAUGUCUCACGUGUUACUGGCAGAUGGCUAUGCUAGGUUUUAUUGCUCCUUGAAUUUGAUUGAAAAAUUAUUGAGGCGGACAAGUUUGGACCAUUGUUGGACACUGAAACUACACAUCAGUCUUAGAAAAUUGUAAUUUUGUUGGCUUAUCAUGAUUUUGAUCGCCUCACAUUGAUUUUCCUAUGACGUCUCUGUAGAGUGGCUAUGCUUACAUUUUUAGGUAUUUAAUUCUAAAAAUUAACUUAUUAGAUGGAAGGACCAAUUCUACCUGUAAAUACAAGUGGCUUCCCUUUACCAACUCAUACAAGACACAACAAUAAUCUUCUUCAGAAAAAACCACCGUCGGAGGGCUAUUUUCGUUCAACAUAAAUGAGUUGUUCCGCCACCAUAUUUUAAGGGUUUGCUUCUAAUACAACUUGGGGGAGCUAGGGCUAAGAUUUCUAAGAAUCAACAUAAAAACCUUGCCUAUUGGAUGGAAGGACCAAUCCCACUUAUGAGUCUAAAUGACUAAUUUUUGAGGACACAACUCAACAGACCAAUAUAAACUUUUGACGUCCCAUUUUAUUACUUUCCUGUGUUUUUACUUUUGAUGCUGUCUAUAGCCCUACUAUUCUAUUAAGCAGAAAAUAUUUCAAGGCACUCUCGGUCCAGUAGAUAACUUUGGUAUUUAUUAUCUAUUUUCUUUCCAUUUUAUGUAAACCCCGAUCUUUACCUCUGAUUGGUUGUAGAUUCUUUUGUUGCUUUGGGGUUAGGGGAUGGUUUUCAUAACUAUUAAGUUGAUCAAUGCAGAAAAUCACCAUCAAGAAAUGAUAAAGGAUUGUUAGUUCUAUCUGACAAACAACAUUAAUAUGAAGGAUGAUGAUUGUUCUGUUCAAGAGUUUAUAAUGACAUAAUUCUACUUUGGUCUUUUAAAAAAAGUAAUUUAGAAACGAGUAUGUGAGUGAUGACUUUUACAAAAUAAAUUACAUGCGCAGUGAUGAUUUUGACACAUGAAAAUGAAAAAAGAAAUAUAACUUGUGAAUAAUAAUUGAAGUACCUGCUAUUGUUAUAUUGGGUAUUGAUAAAUGGAUGGUUUUGGAAGAAUUGAAAAUGAUGGCAUAAGUAAACCGAAGUUAAGAGAAAAGAGAAAGAGCAUUUGAACUUUACUAGUAAGUAAAGGCAAAUUUCUUGGUUCAAGAAAAGAUAAGAGAUAUCAAACUAGCAAUAGGAAAAAGGAGGAAGGUUAAGACAGCAUCUUAACAAAAGCUAAAGAAAAGAAAAACUUAGUUCAAGCAAAGAACAAUGUGCUAAUGUCGUGUAAUCUUGUUUAAUUUCUUUUUCUUCUCACAUUUUCCAGGGCUUAAAUAAUACAAUAUACAUUUUCAAGCAAAGAACAAUAUGCAAUUGCAGUACUUCUGAGCACACAACAACAAAUAAAUAGUACAAUAUACAUACCCACUAAAUUAAAAAAAAAAUAUUAUUCAAGUUUGUGGACAAUACUGUAGCCAUGCCGUCGUCGAAAUCUACUGACAGCUGAAACAAAGAAAGAAUGGAUGAAUGCUGGAUCACAGUUGAAAUUGAAGGUCUGGUAGGUGAUGUUUCCCUCUCUGAUUUUACCUAAACAAAUACAAAAAAAUAAGAAUCACAAAUGAAAAUCUGCUAUUACACUGUUCUUACUUAUUAAAAUACAGAGGUUUCUUUGUUUCUCUGCAGCAAUGUCCAUGGCUAUUAGAAACAAGAACAAUUAGACCAGCAUUUGCAAGAAUCCUUUAAGGUAUUACUGCAGAUAUAAAUCCACUGAGGAAAUGGAAAAAGUGAAUACCAAAUUAGGCAAGUUAAAUGAAGAUUGAGUUAUCAUAGAAGAAUAAAACUCAUCCAAUUCAAUCCAUCAAAUUCCAUAAGGAUACAACUGGAUGUCAUACUGCUGCUCCAUAUCCUCAAGAGCCCGUAGAUUUUGCCUCAACUCUGGCUGAGGCCAAUGUAAGUCCAAUUUGCAAAAGCUCUUUAUGCACCAUAGCUCUUCAGGAAGCUUUCUCAAGUAAGCACAAGGGUUGACAAUUAUGCUCCCAAGUUUUGGCAUUGCUCCAGCCCCUAUCGUCCACUCCUCUAGCCAACAAAUUGAUUUCAGGUGCAAUACUUUGAGCUCCGGGAAACCACAAGAGCAAACACAAGCCAGUUUUCUUCCUGAAUAUGAGUUCUGCUUCAAUUUCAGCACUUGAAGGUGUGGAAGCUUGUCUAGUGUUAGCAUGGUAUCCGCCAAUAACUCAGUAUUUGAUAAGCUUAGUUGGAUCAGACUUGGAGAAGCUGGUAUUUAGACAGGGCCAUCCGAGAGAGCUACCACCUCUUGGUUUCGUUCACCAGCUUCAAGCAUUCAAGUUUGUGUAGUUCGCAUAGGCUUUUGGAAACCCCAGAACGAUAAUAACUCAAACCUCCAGAUACUAAGAGUUUGAAAAUGAGGUAGUCUGCCUGUUAAAGUAGCUCACUAUGCUGAACGAAAGAAGGAGAAAGCUAAGCUGAAGAAAAUACAGGGCAAGAGUAUUAGCUGUGCCAGCUCAACUGACAGCUCAGCAAAAUCAGUUAAAUUUUGUUACAAGCCCCCUGUGCAUUGUGCUGAAGAUUAGUUAGUUUAAUAAUGAUUAGUUUUAGAUUAGUUAAAAUGUAAUCAUGAUUAAGAUAUAUAUAUAUAUAUAUAUAUAUAUAUAUAGAUAUAGAUAUAUAUAUAGCUGCUGUACUGAUAGGGCAUCUCAAAAGUUCUGAAAUAAUACCUCAAUUCUAUGGCAAAAAUAAAUAAUCUCAAACAAGAACCAAUAAUCAUAUUUUGUUACUGUCAAACACAAUGCAUAUGAGCAAAACAUUGGAAGCCAACACCAGAAUACAUAUGAAUAAACAAUUAAAGAUAGAGAAAAAAGGCUUAAACCUUGGGGGAAAAAAGUGAAAAAACAUGAAAGACAAAUUACACAUGUGCAGUAACCAUCGAACUUAUCAGUGACAGCUGCAUCCAUUACAUUGCUCCAACAACACAAUGGCAAACCACCAGUUUCAAAUUGAGGAUAGCUAUCGAGAAUGAGAAAGUGUCCAAAACAUCAUAAAUAGACAUGUUCCUAUUGUGCAUAAUUUACAUUAUAGGCAAAUAUUCUUAUACCAUCAAAGGCAAAACAUGACACUAACAAUUGAUCCCCCCCCCCCCCCCCCCCCCCCCCCCCCCAACAAAAAAAAAGGAAAAAACAAUACAGAAAAGAUUGAAACAGAUAAGGCUACACUGAGCACAGGAUGCCAUGAAACAUAAUCCAGGAACCAAAUUAAUAAAGAAGGAAGGCAAACCAUUAUUUAACAAUCUGUUUUGUAUUUGGGAAAGUCCGAUAAAAUCUACUUAGGGAUAAUUAGAGAACCUCAACUAUUAAUCACACCUCAUAAAUGAACUAACAUUAACCAUGUACCAUCCCCACAUCAGACAAACAUUCUCUAUACUUCUGAACCUAAUACUUCCAUCUUCAAUUGGGGUUUUUUUUUGUGGGGGGGGGGGGGGAUAAGCUAUCGUGUUUCUAAGCUUGCUUACCUUCUGUGUGGGACUGAAAUACUGAUUUCGAAUCAUUAACAGUAAAAUUGGAAGCUCAUGAAAAAACAAUUUUAUCUUUUAACAAAAGUUAAAAUUACAUCUCCAUAUAAAUUCUCUUUUCAUUUCCUUCAAUUUUCUAAUUAAGCUUAAAAAAAUGUACCUUCAACCACAAAGGGGUUUAAAAUUUAAAAUAUAUAAAAAAAUAAAUUCAGAUAACAAUAAUUAAUUUAAUUAAAAAUAUAAAUAGAGAUUACAGAGAAAGAGAAAAUAGAGAAAGACCUAAUGUUGAGUCCUUUGGUUCUCUUCAUAGGUCCGAACCAUUUCUUCGGGCGUGGGUUUCGGGUCUUUAGGAAACUCCAUCGUCAUAAGCCAGUGAUUGUAAUCGCAACCCUCCAACAGAAUCGUGUCGGGUGUGAUCUCGUCGCCGUCCUUACACAAGUGGUAAGUCUUGUUACCCGACGGCGCAGACGAGAGGGAGAUCGUCGGGGACGAUCUGAACGGCCGAGAAUGGAUGAUGAUGGAGGAGGAGGAGGAGAUUAGCGAUGACGACGCCGAUGAAAUGGAAGGGUUUACCAGAGGAGUGGAUGCCGAAAGUGCAGGGACGGCCGCCAGGAGAGAGCGGUGGAGAGCAGCGACGGCCGGCAGUGACCGGCGGAAGAUGGCGGGAGAUGGCAGCGUGGGCCAUUGCUUGCGCGUCAGUGAGUGUCUCGAGUGAGAGAGUGAAGGUAGGGAUGGCAAUGGGGAGGGAGGGAGGGUCCAAUCUCUCCGUACCCAUCCCCCAAUUUGUCCCCGUCCCUCCCCGUCCCCAUUUGCUUAGAAUCUCCAUCUCUGCUCGAAUAAUAACAGGAAAUCCUCGAGGUUCUAAAUAACUAAUAAUUUUUUUUAUUUUUUAUUUUUUUAUUUUUAGUUAAUUAUAUUAAAAUAAAAAAUAAAAAAUAAAAAUAAAAUUUAAAAUAUAUCUUAUAUUAAUAUUGAUCCAUUAUAAAAAUUACAUGUAAAAUAUAAAUUAUCAAAAUAAUUAUCUUUAUCAAUCUUCAUAAUCAUAUAAUAAAAAGAAAAAAAUUUACUUUUAUAUUGAUAAUAAAAUAAAUAUAGAUAAUUAAUUAAUAUUUUUAAUAAAACAAAAUUUUUGGGCUAAUAGAAUCUACCCUGCUUUUUUAAUAUCUUAAAUAAAAAUUUAAGACUUUAAUUAGUUAAUUAGGCCUAAAAAUUUAAUAAUAUAAAUAUUUUGAUAUUUUUUAUUUUACCAAUAUUUAUAAUUUUAUAAUAUAUUCAAUUUUUAUUAUUUAUUUACUAGUAAUUUUAAAAAAUAAAAAUAAAAUUAAAAAAUAAAAUGGGGGAAAUGGGGAGGGGAUGGGGAUUCCACCUCAUCCUUGUCCCUUCCUCGAAUAAGAAAUUGAUUAAAAAAAAUUUCCCGUCACUUUCUCGAAUAAGAAAUCGGGUAUAAAAUUAUCCUCGUACCCUCCUCGAAUGAGAAAAAUCUCCGAGGAUACCCAUACCCGUGGGGAUUUUUGCCAUCCCUAAGUGAAGGAUUUUGUUUAGGGUUUUGGGAAUUGAAAAAUGUAAAUGUUUGAUUUUGUUGCUAGAAACUUCUUCUGCCGCUGCUUUUUAUUUUCGCUAUAAAAGUAAUAAUUUGUUAAUCAAAUAUUUUCUUAAAAAAGAUAAAUUUCUAGAACAAAAUUUAUAUUAAAUCAAAUUGUAAAAAUGUGGAAUAGGGCUAAUUUCUCCUUAAUAUUAUUGUUAGUAGAAGUAGAUUUUCGAACUAGUCUUGAUAUAUUUUAGAGUUGUAUUAUAGAUGUAUAUGUAUCUAGAUUGUAAUUAUAUUUUAAAAAAUAUAAUUUUUUUAAUUAUUGCACAAUAAGUGUAGAAAAUAUCUAUAAAAUAAUAUUAUUAGAACUAUGAAAAGAAUUUAUUUUAGAGAAGUUGUUUUUUUAUUAUUGAAUUUGUUAAUUUAUUAAUUUAUUGACAAAUGAAUAUUUAUUAAUUUAAAGAGGGAUUUUUUUUUAUUUGCUUUUAAGAAGAGUUUUGUUGGUACAUGUACAUACUUAUAAAGAAAUACAAAAAGUGCUUCCUCUGUUCCUCAAAUCAAUAGUAUUUACUUUAAUUCAUAAUAAUAUAGCUUAUUUAGGAAACUUGUAAUUAUACCAUGUCUUUGUUUCUUUGUUCAUUUUGGUGGGACAAUGUGAUAAAUGAUUGGAUUAAAAUGCAUUAAUAAAUAAAAACUUAUUAAAACCUAAUUUAUUUGGGAACCACAUAUUAUUUGUCAGUAGUAUUUAUCAACUUAACAAGUUAUUUCUAAUUUGUCCCUCUCUAUUAAUGGUUCUCUUAAAGCCAAUAGGGUCGCAUUUGAUAUCUUGCCAUUACCGUUGGCAGUAGCGUGUUACCUAAGAUUUGGAUUCAUUGAAAUCCUCAAUGUAAUCGGUGGAACGAAUGGAUUUCUUCUAUUCAUAAUUUGAUGCUUUGGAUUCAUUGAAAUCCUCAACGCAUUUGAUAUCUUUUUCGUUGAAUUCGUGCAGUUAAAUAAUCUCUACCAACAUAUGUAUGUAUGUAUGAAAUUGGAGUAACCAGACCUUUUCAAGAGUUAAAUAAUCUCUACCAACAUUGUAGAUUGCCCGAUAAAGUUAACUGUGUUACCCAGCUCUAUGCAUAUACAUUAAAUGCAUGUUUGGGUAGUUUUAUAAAAUGAUAACAGCAUGUCAAAACUUGAUAUGAGUUAUAUUGUCAUAUUCGACAUUUUUAAAUUGAAAAAUAAGCAAGCAAUCUUCAGUGAACAUUACAAUUUUGUUCGCUCUACACCCCAUCAAUAUUUAAGCAAUCUACAUAUCAUUACUUGAGGAAAGAAACUCAUUGCGCCACUAGGCUUUUAACGAGGCUCAUUUCUAUGAAUCUGGAUAGCAUUAGAUAUCUCUCCGAAUACUGUUGGGAGUAGAUUGCAGUUCUCUGGGCUAUACUACAAAGUGUAUGUACGUUGAUUCUCUGAUAUGAUUCAAAACAUCAGUACAUGCAUCAUUUAAUGAGAAAGAAUAUUCUGAGAUUAUUUAUGCAUCACCAUUUGUAGUUGUACUGACUCUAAUGAAAUUAAAGGUGCAAUCAGCAACUAAAAUGAAGCCAGAAAGACACGCAUGAGGCAGUUUUCCUAGAAGAUUUGAUAUUUCUUUGACUAGCAAACCAUACGACAUUAAUCAAAACACAAUACGCACAAACAGACCCCUACAUACAUACCAGCAAAUUCAAAAUAGAAAAAGGAGUGCAACUAUUCAAGUUUGUAGACAAUAUUGCAGCCAUGGCAUAUCAAAGCAAAUCCUUGAAAUGUGCUAAACAGAACAAUGCCCUGUCUGAUGAAUCGACGCUCAAUUACAAUUGAAAUUGAAAGUCCGGCUGGUGUUGUUUCCCUCUCCAGUUUUGCCUACAUAAGUAAAGGGAAAUGAGAAUCAUAAAAGAAAAUCUGCUUUUAUGGUUCUUAUUAGAUAGAUAAAAAGGGAUCUUUCUUUGUUUCUCUGCUGCAAUGUGUGGCUAUCCCACUCUGUUUUGCCAGUCAAGCUGAGUCUAUGUUGAGACAUAAUUUUGACAUCAGAAGCGGCCUCAAUUAGUUUGGCACUUUUGCGAUAAACAUAAAUCUACUAAGAAAGUGCAAAAAAAAAAAAGAAAAUGAAUAUAAAAGUAUGAUUUAUCAGAUAAGAUUAAAACUCACCCAAUUAAAUCCGUCAGAUUCCAUAAGGAUAUAACUGGAUGUCAUACCGCCACUCCAUAUCCUCGAAAGUCCGUAGUCUUUGUCUCAGCUCUGUCUGAGGCCAAUGUAAAUCCAAUUUGCGCAAGCUCUUUAUGCACCACAGCUCUUCUGGAAGCUUUCUCAGGUAAGCACAUGGGUUGACAAUUAAGCUUUCAAGUUUUGGCAUUGUUCCUCCCCCCAUCGUCCACUCAUCUAGCCAAUACAUUGAUUUCAGGUGCAAAACCUUAAGCUCCGGAAAGCCACCAGAGCCGACACAGGCCAGCUUUCUUCCUAAAUACGAGUUCUGCUUCAGUUUCAGCACUCGAAGGCGUGGAAGAUUUUCCAGAAUUGGCAUGGGAUCCUCCAUUAGCUCAGUAUUUGAUAAGCUCAGUUGGAUCAGACUUGGGGGAAAUUGGUAUUCAGACAGGACCAUCCGUGAGGGCUUGCUCUCAUUCACCAGCUUCAAGCAUUCAAGUUUGUGGAGUUCGCAAAGGCUUUUGGAAACCCCAGAUUGAUAGUAACUCAAAUCUCCAGAUAUCCGAAGAGUCCGAACACUGGGUAGUCUGCCCAAUAUAUCAGGAGUACAACUACUAGGGUUUAAAGCUGAUAUGAAAAUGAGAUUUUUCAGAGAGCUAGUAUAAUUUUUUGGAGGUGCGGGCAGAGUGAUAGAACCAAAGUUUAGAUGCGUGAGUUUUUGCAUCAUCCAAAUAUCCUCUGGCGACUGAUCUAUGUAGCUAGAUGGCAUUUCUAGUGUUUGAAGGUUUAAAAGGGUGCAUAGCAGCAAAGGAAGGCAUUUGAGCGAAGGGAUAUUCAAUUUCAAGUACUUCAAAAAAUAUAAAUUUUCUAAUCCGGGUGGAAAUUGGUCGAGAACUGCGGAACCCAAGUUCAGUACCCGAAGGUAUUUGAACUUUUUACAAAAAUUCUCGCAAUCUAUCAGAGCGAGAUGAUCGCUUCGUGAACUGUGAUUCAGAAAAGAUUGGAUAUACAUGUCAGAAUAUUCUGGAGGAAAGAACUUAAUCAGACGAUCCAAAAUGAGAUACCGUUUAACAUUUGCCAGUGGUUCCUCUUUCAUAUCAGACAUCCGGACAAAUUCCGUCUUGUCCGCCACCAAAUAUAUUGAAAUAAAUUCAAAACUUGGAACAUAACACGCUUUGAUUGUGCCGUUGGCUCUUCUCUUACUCACUUGAAUGAAGCCGCGGUGGAUUAGUUCUUUUAAGUAAAAUUCGGCAGUUUCCUCACUGUUGUAUGGAAUUAAACCUUCAGCUAUCCACAACUGACAUAAUUGCGCGGUAGAUAUCUCAAUGCCGGGGCGGAAGACACACAAAUAGAUGCAGCAGACUUUCAAGUAAAAAGGUAACUCCCACACAGAACAAGUUCGACUGAAAACUGUCAAAUUUAUUUUUUCAUUCAUAUAAUUUUCUGAUGGCGCACUUCCAUAGUGUAAGAUAAAAAAUUGCCAGGCCUCAUGCUUUAAUCUGAUCAAUGGUCCUUCAAUGAGCACUGAAUCAAGCCGAAUCUCCUCUCCGUUUUCCAUUUCCAACGACGUAAGGAGUUCUGGAUCAGUGACCAAUAUCAAUACUCUGCUUCCAUUCUGAUUAUCAGGAAGAACUUCUUCAAGAUCAUCCCAUAUCUCAAUGUUAUCGCAGACAUCAUCAAGCACAAUAAAGUACUUCUUCUUUGCUAGGAAAUCUCGAAGAAUAGUUUUCUUCAAUUGAUAAUCUUCACCGAUAAUUACACUAACCCCAGAUGGAGGCAUCACAGACUUGAUUAUGUCAUCCAAUAUCAUGCGAAAAUCGUAGGCCACAGAAACCCUGACCCAAGCAAGACAGUCAAAAUAGAACUUGACAUGAUUAUUAUUGUAAGUAUCUGCAGCAAAAGCAGUCUUAUCGAAGCCAUUGCUGUCGAGUAUUGCAACCACUGCCAGCCCAGAUGGUCCAUCUAUUGAUUGAGGGACCAUCUGGGCUGGCAGUGGUUGCAAUACUCGACAGCAAUGGCUUCGAUAAGACUGCUUUUGCUUAUUUUGUUACUUUGUUCACUGAUAUCAAAACCAUUGUCGCCGGGUGGAAGUUGUUGAAUCCGAUUUCUAAUAUCAAUGAUUUUACUGUGGAGUCCAACAAGAAAAGCCAUCUUAGUACUACUUUCACUUUCGUUUUCACCGUUUUGCUGCUGCAUGAUUUUGAUGAAGAAUGUGUCAAUGGCUUCCUCAGAUUCAUGGACAAAGUCAUUGAUGUCGUUCAGAAUUUCCAGAACGUCUGCUCUUUUAACGUCUUCUUCAUCGCUUUCUUCUGCCUGCAACAGUUGCGAAAAAGGCAAAGAUAAUUUGUAUUCAUCGAAUCGUUCUUUAACGAGUUGAAACAAAAGCCGAGCCAUGUCAGAUUCAUAGUUUCCCAGCAGAGUGGUAGCAAUAAUUUCGGACUCCGUAAGAAGGUUUUUAAAAAGGGGAGUUAAAUUUGUUGAAUCAGGCAAAGUCAACGCGCCUUCUUCACCUGCUAACACCCUUUUUAACCUCUCACAAAAUAGUCGGAGGUGGACGUCCAGCAUAUCUCCUUCUCUCUGUAGCGGCCAGAGGUAUUGUUAUUUGCUACAAGAAAUGUUAAAAGGAUUGGUCCUAUCUCAAAGUCGUUAGUGGUGUCAAAUUAAACGCCAUGGGAGAAUUUGAAAGGAAGAUGCCAAGAAACUGGCUAAGUGGCUAAAUUCCACAAAUACGGCAUUAUUGCUCAUUUUUAACUCAAAAAAUUGAUACGCGUUCAUUUAGCGAAAAGUCCAAGACGCGUGCCUUUUGAGAAGAACCGGUAUCCAAUAGGUAUUCAACUUUAUCUUAUUUAAGGCAAAGCUUACGUUACAAAUAAUGUAACAAACAACCAAUAAAUAUAGAUCAUUUAAUUAUUAGCAUGACAUGAUUGAUGGUGCUUAAAUCAAAUGUUUUUCUUUUUUAAUUUAAAGAAUUUUUCAUGAAACAAAUUAUUUUAAUAUCAAAUUGCCUUCAAUGGCAUAACUGCCGCAAGCCAGUGACAGAAUUAAUUAAAAAUUUUAGAAUUCUUGGGCAUGGAAAUGGUAGUAAACAUCAUAAAGCUAAGGUUGUUCUGUAAAAGAACUGAUAUUGACAUAAUUUUAUUUUGGUUUUCGGGGAAAACAAUAUUUGUUGACAAGCAAGAAAAUAUUUUUAUAUUUUACAAUUUAUUAUACAUAUUUUAUCAUAUUAAAGUAAUUUUAAUAAUAAAUAGAAACAUAAUAUUACAAUAAAUAAAUUAAAGUUUAAAUUAUUUUGAAUAUUAUAAAAAGUAAUUUUAAUAUUAUUAAUAGGAAGACUUUUGUUAAUUGUAAAAUCUUUUUAAUCCAAAGAUUUAUUUAAAAUUCUUAUAAUAAAUACAAAUAUAAAAUUAAAUAUCAAAAUUUAAAAUUUUUAAUAUUAUUUAAAUUUUAAAAAUACUUUAAUGUUAUUAGUCUUCUACAUAAAUUAUAUUAUUUAUAUUAUAUUUGUAUUGAUUAAAAUCUUUUAAAGUCGAUCUUCUAGUUAUUAUAUGCAAAAGGUAUUAUAUCAUAUUACAAUUUUUUUAAAUUUUAGGGAUGUAGGUUACGAUGAUUUAUUUCACUUUUGACGAAAUCCAAUGAGAAAUAUGAUAAGAGAAAGUCAAUUUAACGUUCUCUACCUUUAUGAAAAAAAAAAUAAAAACUAAGAAUUAUUUAAUUUUAUAUUUUUUGCAUCCACCAAAUAAGUUUUGCACAUUUAUGUUAUCAUAAAACGAAAAAAAGGGUUUACCAAAAAAUGGUACCAAGCAUACCUUUAAUGUCCCACGUGAUUUCUUAUUAAGCCCAAUAUUAGAUAUAUUUAUAGAUUUUACUGCAUAAGUAUUUUAAUUAUAAAAGAAGUUGGUCCUUCCUCUAGUUACAAAAGAUAACUUUAUUUCAAGACUACCACUAAAUUCUUACGGAGAAUUAGUGCAAGGCCAAGAGAGAGUAACACAAUUUUACUUUUCCAUUACCAUUUUGAAAAUAGAAAGAUAUGGAUCCGUGUAUUUAAGAGUUAUUGUAAAAAUCAUACAAUUCAAUUUCCUGACGUGUAUUAUGUAUAUUUAGGCACAUUUGCCAAAAGCGUAAAUAGAUAGAAAGUAAAUUUACAAUCCACCCUUACUCACAAUUAUUGAAGUGAAGAUGCAUUACAACUGUCACUGCUUUAACUACAUUUAUUUAUUUAUUUGUUUUAAAUAAAAGUGUGAGAGAGACGGUGAACAUCAUGGACGAUAACAAAGGUUAAAGCCUAAAGGUGACCCAUUUUCUUUUUUAAAGUGCUCUGCUGAAAGCCAAACUUCCUUUGGAUCCGCCUAAGUUACUGCUGACGCAACUUACAGCUGCUUUGUAAAAUUUUAUAAAGCCCCUUAUACUCUAUAUUAUUACGUUAUAACUUAACUUACUAUGAGAUUUAUCUUACUUAUUUAUAAUUUGUUCAUAAAUAUUAUAAAACUUUCUGCAUUAUAUAAUUUUAUUGAGCCCCUUAUACUAUAUUUUAUUUCAUUGAAACCCUUAGAGUACUAAUUCGCCCUCUAUAAUUUUAAAUUCCUAAAAUAUCCUCCAUUUAAUUAAAAAUAUAAUAAUUAUUAAAUGGAUUAUAAUUAUAAUUAUUAUUUUAUUAUAAUUAUUAUUAAAUGGAUUAUAAUUAUCUGGAGUACAAAUUCAGUAAUAAACAAUAACUGAAGUAUUAACAAUUUAUUCAUCAAAUAAAAUACUCGAGAUUUCAGCUGACAAAUCCUCUUGUCUAAACUAAAAAACUCAUAUCCCUAAAAUCUAUUUGUGAAAUGUUAGAGAUGAGUGGUGAUUUGUCAACUGGGUAAAUAUAUUUAUGCAUAAUAUUUCCGGUAUUGAUAAAUUACAUAAUAAUUAUUACAAAGAAAUCAUAAAUUGGAAACAUUAAUCAUUUUACAAUAUGUUACAUAAGUAAGAUAAAUCUCAUAGUAAGUUAAGUUAUAACGUAAUAAAUAUUUUCAACAUAUAAUUAUUUAAGAAGUCAUUUAACAAUAAUAUUUUUUAUAUUUCAGUUGAUCAUGUCAUAUAGCGUUAUCUAAACUCUUGGCCAUAUUAUUAUUACUCAAUUUUUCUCCCAAAAAAAAAAACAAAAAUGAUUAACGAUUAGAGAAAAGUCAUGCCUUUUAGAAAGAAUACGUAUACAGCCUAUCCCAUACUUUUAUCUUUACCAUGAUGGGGGAUUAAAUUUAUUUUUUAAAUUAAAUUUAAUGCACAAUUAUGAUGACUUUUUGCAAAAAUUAGUUUCGGAAGAUAUAGUGGUAGAAAAUAGUGAUGAUUAUUGUUUAAAUGUGUAAAUAGUUUAAGCAUAGCCCGUAAUACCAAUAUUCAUUUGCACCUUCAUUUGGAUUAUCAUAUUUUAUGAUGUUCUUUCAUUCAUAACCAUUGUUCAAAAUUUGGAUUUGAUCAUAAAACAAAGCUAAAAAAUAUUAGAGAUACUAACAAUUGAGUCCCAUUUUAAGUCCCAAUACAAUGUGUCAUUUCCCAAUGCUGUAUCAUUUUAGGUGAUGAAUUUCAGAAUUAAUAAUUAGUUCAGACUUAAAUUAAGAUUUAGUUAUUAAGAUAUCUAGCAUCACUCAAUCACAAUAAACAAUAACCAAUUCAAAUUGGAACGGAAUAUUGUAUUUUCUUUUAAUUAAUUAUGAUGCAUAAGCAAGUAUUUGUGCUUGGGUUUUUUACUUCUUGAUUUUGUUUGGAAAAAUUUAUGAGACAAAGAAGUGUUUUGGAUAAUUUUUUCGGGAUUGAAAAUUUGAAACCACAACUUGGUAGAAGAAAUUAGUUGUGAACAAUUUUUUCUUAUAUUGUAGGACCUUCUAGUUGGAGUAGUGAUGGCUUUGUCUUCAUUUUUGGUUCCAUUUGUGUCGGCAGCCCCUUACUAUUCUCUUGACCCUGAGUUUGAGAUGAAAAUUUAUCAACCUCCAACCCCACAUCCAAAAACAAGUUGAUUGAAACAAUUGCUCUUUAAAUUAAGCGGACCCAAAUGAGUUAGGUUUCAGUUCUUAUCAUUUGUCUAUUAUUUCUUUGAAACAUGUAUUUUGAGCAUUACUGAUCUUAAUUAUCUGUAUUUCUCCAAUUAUUGAAGAAUUUCAUGUGGCCACUUUUUCUCCUUUUAAAAUAUGUUUAUUUUUUGGAGUGAUCAAACGGGUGUAGAAUCAAGUAAUCGCUGGUCUGUAGUUUAGCCAAUGAUGGCUCAUCCACACAGUUGAAUAUAUGAUACAAUUAGCUCUCAAAAUCUUUCUUAUUUGAGAACAUAAAUUGCCCAUUAAAGUUAAACUAUGUUACCCAGCUCCAUGCACAUACAUUAAAUGUGUAGGUAGUUUUACAAAAUGAUAACAGCAUGCCAAAACUCGUUGUUGUCAUAUUCGACAUUUCAAAUUGAAAAAUAUGCAAGCAAUCUUCAGUGAACAUUACAUGUUUAUUCAAUAAUUUAAAUGGCCAGUAAAUCAACAGUCCAUGAGUUUUAAAUCUAUUAUGACUUAAUGUAUCUUUCUGUAUUCGUACACAGGUUAUAUUAUCAUAGUUUAAAAUUUUAAUAUUAUUUUAAAUGUUAAAAAUACUUUAAUGCUAUUAGUUUACUACACAGGUUAUAUUAUUUAUAAUAUAUUUGUAUUAAUUAAAACUUUUAAUGUCAAUUUUUCCAAAUUCUAAGGGUAUAGGUUUGAAAAUUUAACGUUCUCUAAAUUAAUGAAACAAAAGGGGGGAAACCAAAAACUAUUCAAUUUUGUAUUUUUUGUUUGUAAUUCAAAAAAUACAUCCACCAAACAAGUUUUACGCAUUAAUGCUGUCAUAAAACGAAAAACAGUUUGCCAAAAAAUGGUACCAAACAUAUCCUUAAUGUCUCACAUGAUUUCUUAGUAAGUCCAUAUUAGAUAUAUUUAUACAUUUUAGGUAUUUUAGUUAUAAAAGAAGUUGGUCCUCCCCCUGUUUAUAAAAAAAUAACUUUAUUUCGAGAUUGCCACUAAACUCUUAUAUAGAAUUAGUGUAAUGUUAAGAGAGAGUAACACAGUUUUCCAUUACCAUCUUUGAAAAUAGAGAGAUAUGGAUAUGCAUGCAUUUAAGAGUUAUCGUGAAAAUCAUACAAUUCAAUUUCCUGACAUAUAUUUAUGAGCAUAUGCCAAAAGAAUAAAUAGACAGAAAGUAAAUUUACAGUCCUCACUUCCUCACAAUUGUUAACGUGAAGAUGCAUUACAACUGUGAACUGUCACUGCUUUAGCCUUUUUUUUUUAAUUAUAGUGUGAUGGAGACAUUAAGGCUGAGCAUAAAAGUUAAAGCUGACCCAUUUUCUUUUUAAAGUGCUCUGCUGAAAGCCAAACUUCCUUUGGCUAAUUAAUUUAGAAGUAAAGCAGAGAUUAAAGUCCUAGACGCCUUCUGAAAUUAGAAAUACAUUUUAUAUGCUUUAAUUAUGAUUAUUUGGUAGACCAUAGACCUAGAAGACAUGUCAAAAGUAUAAAACAGAGCGAUUAAAGAAAAAAGAAAAAAAAAAGAGUAUUUGUGACGUAGAAUAACAAAUGGUAACUAAAAUCCUAAAUAUUUGAGUUGUUAAAAGUAAAUAUAACAGAGACGGUAAGAGAGAUGCAGAAACAGAAAACUAUUAGCUUAUCUUGAUUUUCCCACUAUAUUCAUUUUCGAUGCUUUUCGAACGAGAUUCUUUUAAUCCUUCUGGUGUAUGCAGCCCCGGCUCUUCUUAUAAAUCUCCAUCCCACAUCUGCACUACGAACAAGUUGAUUGAAAUUAAAUAAUGUUGGAGAUGAGAGGUGAGUCGUCAACUCGGUAAAAACAAUCAUGUAUAAUAUUAUUAAUAAUAUAAAAUAUAUAAUAAUCAUUACAAAGAAUCAUAAAUUAGAAAAAUUAAUUAUUUUACAAUCUAUUUCUUAAGUAAGAUAAAUCUCGUAAUAAGUUAAGUUAAUAACGUAAAAAAAAAUUCAAUUUAUAAUCAUUUAAGAAGUCAUUUAACAAUAAAAUCUUUCUUUUGAUCAGUAGGCCAUGUCACAAAGUAUCAUAUAUAUUCGUGGUGAUAUUAUUACUACUCCGUAUUCUCAAAAAACAUGAUUUAACAUUUAGAGAAAAUUCCUACCUUUUAAAAAGAACAUGUGUGCAACAACUACCCAUACUUGAUCUUACCAUGACAAAACUAAUGGAGACUAAAUCAAUUUUCUCGAUUAAAGCAAAAUUUCUUAAUAUUGAUUUAAUCCAAAAAUAUGAUGACUUUUUGCAAAAAUUAGUUUUGGAAAAUAUAGUGAGAGAAAAUAGUGACGAUUAUUGUUUAGAUGUGUAAAUAGCCUAAACAUAAUCCCUAAUACCAAUAUUCAUGUGCAUCUUAACACCUUUCGUGUUAUUCUUUCAUUCAUGGUCACUGGUUCGAGAUUUGAAUUUGAUCAUUAAAUCAUGUUCAAUGAUAUUAGAGAUCCCAACAAUUGAGUACAAACUUAAAUCCUAAUGCUAUGUGUCAUUGAGCAAUGUUGUGUCAUUUUUUGUUAACUGGGUGAUGAAUUUCUAGUUGAUAAAAUUACUUAAAAAUAUCUUUAAAAUCAGACAAUAGUUUGCUUAAUUUUUUGAAGCUAACUGCUCAAGAUGCUCUAUUAGAAAUGAUAACCUAAUUAUAUUCAUCAAAAAUGAUUUUUUUUUUUUUUUGCGGUGUUGAUAGUGAGAUUAUCAUUCAACAUGUUAAAAUAUGAAAACAUAUGGAGGAAGGUUGUAAAUUGAUUGAAUGAAAAUAUUUCAGUGAAGUCUAAAAAAUUUGGUACUUGUUAUCUUAUCGAAAGUUUUCUAAAUUACAUUCGUGGCACUGCCACUGCUUUUAUGUGCAGGUCAUUAAAAUUUGUGUUAGUUACCUAUAUGUUGAAUAACAAUUUUAUUCAUGAAUUGUUGCUCAAUAUAGCAAUUUGAUUGAAAGUGCGGCUGCACUAAUUUUCUAGAUGAAUUUUCCUACAUGUUUGUCCUCAUAUGACCUAGAAUGUUGUUAUAUCAAUUGUAUUGGAAAUUAUUAAAGUGGGUUAGUGUUGUACAUCCCCACCAAAAUUUAAGCAAUAUGUUAUAACUCCUUAUAGCUAUAUAAGAUACUUCAGGAAAUGCUUUGAUGAAUUGGAUUUGAAAGAGCAGAACAAGUUAAUCCAACAAGAAAGAAAUCACAAGAAUUAGACACAGAGCACAAUUCUAAGUACACAACUUGAUGAAGGAAAAAACUGCUCUUUUAUUGAUCUCAACAAUCGAAAUAUAGGUUGAUUACAAAGAAGGAAUUACAAGGAUCACAAAGAACCAAAUUGCAAGCAAAAUGAAGAAAAUAUCGAUAUGAUAUUAGAGGCUAGUCACAAGUGCCUUUUAUUAUGAUCUUUCUAGAAAACGUCAUAACGAACUCUCAACGAAUUCUGCCACAUCAGCAUAAGUUUUUCAACAAGACCCCUCCAAUUGAAGUCGAUCUGCACAUUGCCCUAAGAAUUCUCCAAAUUUUGCAUUUAAACCUAACAUACCAGCAACUUAUUUCCUCACACUUUCCACCUUGCAGACUCAAUUCAGUUGAUCAUUUCAAUUAUGUAGCGUAAAAAAACCUUCAAAACACACAGUUUCGGAACUAAAGCUACUGCCAACACCAAUUAAGUUUACACAGAACUUAAAUUUGGUUGUUCGUAGUGCUUUUGUUAACAUAUCAACAGGAUUGAUAUUUGUAUGUAUUUUAGUUACUACAACUGCCCUUUUGCAACCUUAUCCUUGAAAAAGUGCAACUUUACUUCAAUGUGUUUGGUUCUCUCAUGAUAAACCUAGUUUUUGAUGAGCUGAAUGGCACUCUGAUUGUCACAAAAAAUCUACAUUGUCCUUUGCUUCAACCAGAGCUCAUUUAGUAACCCUCUCAACCACAUUGAUUCUUUUACUGCCUCUGUUGCAGCAACAAAUUCUGCCUCAGUAGAUGACAAAGCUACUAUGUGCUGUAGAGUAGCUUUCCAUCCAACAUGAAUAGAUAUCCAGAGAUAGAUUUUCUUCUGUCCAAGUCACCUGCAAAAUCAGAGUCAAUAUAGCCUCUAACUUCACAGACCUCCUACUUGAAUUUUCCAUACAUAAGUCCAUGAUCUAAAGUGCCUUUCAAGUACCUCAUAACCUAUUUCAUAGCAUCCCAAUGAAGCUUACCAGGAUUACUCAUAAACCUGCUCACAACACUUACUGCAUAAGCUAUGUCUGUUCUGGUGCAAACCAUUGCAUACAUCAAGCUUCCUACAACUUGUGAAUAUGGUAUUUCAGCCAUUUGUAACUUCUCAGCAUCUGAUGUUGGAGACAUGUCAUCAGAGAGUCUAAAUUGAGCUCCUAAAGGUGUCAUUACUGGUUUUGAAUCCAUCAUCCCAAACCUUUCCAGCACCUUGCUGACAUAUCUUGAUUGGCUUAGAAAUAAGGUACCAACAGCUAUAUCUUUGAAAAUAUCUAUACCAAGGAUCCUCUUGGCACUGUCGAGAUCCUUUAUUUCAAAUUCCCCCUCAAGCAGAUUCUUAAGCUUUUUAAUAUAGAUCACUAAGAUUUUUACCAGCAAUAAGUAUGUCAUCAACAUACAAUAAAAGAUACAUAGCUCCACUUGAGUUUAUAAUCUCAUGAUAGAAACAACUAUCAUAUUUGCUCAUGUGAUAGCCAUUUGAGAUCAUAAACUGGUCAAAUCUCCUAUACCAUUGCCUAAGAGACUAUCUCAAGCCAUAUAGAGAUUUAUGUAGAAGGCACACAUAAUCCUCAUAUCCCUUUGCUUUAAAACCUUCAGGCUAUGACAUUAGUAUCUUUUCUUCAAGAUUACCAUGUAGGAAGGUAGUCUUCACAUCCAUUUGUUCAAGCUCUAGAUCAAAUAAAGCCACCAUAACAAGUAAGAUUCUGAUUGAGCUGUGCUUUAUAACUGGUGAGAAGAUUUUAUUGAAAUAAAUCCCCUCCUUUUGUGUGAACCCCCUUGCCACCAGUCUUCCCUUAUAUCUUGAGUUUUCAACACCUGGGAUGCCCUCCUUUUUCUUGAAUAUCCAUUUGCAACUGACAACUUUCCUAAUCCCUGGAUUAGGAACCAAGGUCCAAGUCUGAUUUCUUACUAGAGAAUCCAUUUAUUCCCUCAUGGCUUUAAUCAGUUACUGUUGUUCUUGCUAUCUAUUGCUUCUCUAUAGUUGUUAGGCUCUUCAAUUGCAACAUCUUCUGCACUCAUUAAUGCAUAUGCCACCAUGUCUGCAUAUGCAUAUCUUGCUGGGGGUCUGAUAUGUCUUUUUUUCUCUGUCCCUAGCUAAUUGAUAUUGUUACAAAUCAGUUGCUUGUGGUGCUUCAUUUUCUGUUACUACUGUAUCUUGAGAAUCAGGUUUAAUAACUUCUGGUUGUAUUUCAUCUUUAUAGGUAUUAGACAACUCCACCUCAAUCUUUUCACUUUGAUCAAUGGCCUCAAUGGCUUGUGUCUUAUUUGCACUAAUGUUAGUAUCAGAGGUGACUUGAUCAGGAUUAUUGAUCAUAGCAACUUUAUUAAACUGAACAUCUCUGCUAAUUAGACAUUUACUAGCCUCUCCACACCAGACCCUAUAGCCUUUAACCCCAUCUGGAUAACCAACAAACACUCUUUUUAUAGCUCUUGCUUCAAGCUUCCCUUGUCUAACAUGGAAAUAAGUAGGGCGCCUAAAUACAUUUACAUGUUCAUAACUUCCAAGCUUUCCAUACCAGAGCUCUUUAGGAGUUUUGAAGCCAAUUGCAGCAGAUGGACUUUUGUUUACAAGAUAACUUGCUGUAGAAACAACUUUUGCCCAAAAACUUCUAGGGAGCUUAGAGUUUAUCAACAAACACCUUCUUUUUUAUCAACAAUUGUUCUAUUCAUCCUCUCAGUCAAACCAUUUUGUUGAGGGGUGAAUCUCACUAUUUUAUGCCUCAUGAUUCCGUAUUCUUGGCAGUAUUGCUAAAAUUUUUUGUUAUAGAAUUCAAGUCCAUUGUCUGUUCUUAAACAUUUAACCUUGAAACCAGAUUGAGUCUCCACCAAAGUCUUCCAAAUAUUGAACUUUUCCAAGGCUUGGUCUUUGGUUUUCAGUAUGUAGAUCUAUACUUUCCUGGAAUAGUCAUCUAUAACUGACAUGAAAUAUCUUCCCCCACUCAAAGAUGGCACCUGGGCAGCCCCCAUAGAUGAACAUGCCCAUAGUCCAGAGGUUGUUUAGACAUAUGCAUGCCCUUUGGAAAUUUGGACCUGUGUGCUUUGCCAAAAAUAUAGUUUUCACAGAAGUCUAACUCAUUUAUUUUAUCACCACACAACAAUCCUUGCUUACUCAACUCUUACAUUCCCCUAAUACUCAUAUGGCCAAGUCUAAGAUGCUGUAAUAUGGUUCUAUUAAAAUAAAAAACAGCAGACAUUGCAGCUGAAACAGGCACUGAUGAUCCUUCUAACACAUAAAGGACAUUUUUCUUAACUCCUUUCAUUAUCAUUUGAGUCCCUUUCAUAAUCUUUAAACCACCAUUUUCAAAUUUGAAGCAAUAUCCCAUACUAUCCAGCAUGCCUAAAGAGAUCAAGUUCCUCUUUAGCCUAAGUGCAUGCCUCACAUCAUAUAGAGUUUUAACAGUCUCCUCAAACAUCUCUAUUUUGACAGACUCCAUACCAAUAACCUUACACACAUUGUUGUUACCCAUCAAUACUCUACCACCAUCCACAGAUUCAUAUGUAUGGAAAAGGCUUCUAUCAUGACACAAAUGAAAAGAACAACCUGAAUCAAGAACCCACAGACCUUUAAUAUUGUUGUUCGAAGCCACCAAAAAUUCAGCACUAUGAUACCCAUCAUCAGAGGAGUCAUCUGAGGCCACUGCUGCAUCCCUUGUUCUUUCUUUUUCAUCCUUCUUUUUCUCAUCACAAUCCCUGAUGUAGUGGCCUUGCUUUUUGCAGUAAAAACACUUUCUUUUCUUCAUUUUUUCCUUUGCAGAUGCAUCAUCCGUUUUGGCUUGAUUCUUGUUCUUGUUCUUCUUGUUUUUCUUAUCUGUUCUGGCAAUUAAACCUUCACCAUUACUUACUUCAUGCCCAUUACUCUUCUGAAUCUCCUUAGAGCUCAAAGAGGCUUUCACGUCCUCUGGGGUUAGAGUGGUUAUUCCAUACAGCACGGUGUCCACAAAACCUUCAUAGGUUUUAGGCAAUGAACUCAGUAAAAAGAAAACUUUAUCUUCAUCAGUAAUUUUCACAUUUUCAACCCCUUCAAGAUCAAGAAUGAUCUUGUUGAAGUUGUCAAUGUGUUGUUGAAUAGAUACCCCUUCUUUCAUAGAGAAGGUAUAUAAUCUUUUCUUCAAGAAAAGUCAAUGUACUAAGGAUUUCUUCACACACAGAGCCUCCACCUUGUUCCAGAUACCAAGGACUGUCUUCUCUUCAUAAAUUUCCCUUAGGAUUGAGUUAUUGAGACUCAAGAUCAAGCAAAAUGAACAAGAAAUGAAGAAGAUAUCGGUCUAAUAUCAGAGGCUAGUCACAAGUGCCUUUUUUUCUGAUAUUUUUGGAAAACAUCAUAACGAACUCUCAACGAAUUCUGCCACAUCAGCAUAAGUUUUUCAACAAGUCCCCUCCAUCUCAAGUCGAUCUGCUCACUGCCCCAAGAAUACUCCAAAUCUUGCAUUUAAAGCCAACAUACCAGCAACUUAUUUCCUCACACAAUCUACAGAACAUUUCUUGUGGAAAGAAACUUAUUUCGCUACUAGACUUUUAAUGAGGCCCUUUUCCCAGAAUCUGGAUAAGAGUUAGAUGCCUCCCGGAAUAUUGGUAGGAGUAUAUUUCUAAGUUAUUGCUCGGUAGAUCUCUGAUAUGACUGAAAACAUCAAUACAUGCAUGAUUUUAUAAUAAAGAAUACUCUAAAAUUAUUUGUAUAUCACCAUUUGCAGUUGUGCCCUCUCGAAUGAAGGAGCAAUCAGCAACUAAAAUGAAGCCCGAAAUGUACACGCAUGAGGCAAUUUUUCCAGAAGAUUGAUAUUUCUCUAACUCGCAAACCAUACAAACCCAAAGCUAGCCAAACCAUACCGGCAAGUUCGAGGCUUAAAUGGAGUACUUUUAAGCAUAAAACAUUGAUUAAAACAGAAUACACACACACAUACCAGCAAAUUCAAAAUAGAACAGAAAUACAACUGUUCAAGUUUGUAAACAAUAUUACAAUCAUUGCUUAUUUAUAGCAAAUCCUUGAAAUCUGCUAAAUGAAACAAUGCCUUGCCUCAUGAAUCAAAGUUGAAUUAAAAUUGAAAUUGAAAGUCCGGCUGGUGUUGUUUCCCUCUCUUGUUUUGCCUACAUAAGUAAAGGGAAAUGAGAAUAAAAAAUUAAAAUCUGCUUUUACAAUUCUUAUUAGAUAGAUAUAAAGGGGUCUUUCUUUGUUUCUCUGCUGCAAUGUGUGGCUAUCCCACUCUGUUUUGCCACUCAAGCUGAGUUUACGUUGAGUUAUAAUUUUGACAUCAGAAGGACCUCAAUUAGUUUGGCAUUUUUAUGACCUCCUUGUACGUUUUACGAUAAACAUAAAUCUACUGAGAAAGUGGGAAAAAAAGAAAAGGCAUAUAAAAGUAUUAGUUUGGCAUUAAAACUCACCUAAUUCAAUCCAUCAGAUGCAGUAAGGAUAAAAUUGGAUGUCAUACGGCCAUUCCAUUUCCUCGAAAGUCCUUAGUUUUUGUCUCAACUCUGUCUGAGGCCAAUGUAAAUCCAAUUUGCGCAAGCUCUUUAUGCACCACAGCUCUUCUGGAAGCUUCCUCAAGUAAGCACAUGGGUUGCAAUUAAGCUUUCAAGUUUUGGUAUUGCUCCUGUCCCCAUUGUCCACUCGUCUAGCCAAUACAUUGAUUUUAGCCUUUUAGGUGCAAAACCUUAAGUUUCGGAAAGCCACCAGAGCCAGCACAAUCCAGCCUUCUUCCUAAAUACGGGUGCUGCUUCAAUUUCAGCACUUGAAGGUGUGGAAGUUUCUCUAGCAUUGGCAUGGGAUCCUCCUUUAGCUCAAUAUUUGAUAAGCUCAGUUGGGUCAGACUUGGAGGAAAUUGGUAUUCGGACAGGACCAUUCGUGAGAGCUUGCUUUCAUUCACCAGCUUCAAGCAUUCCAGUUUGUGGAGUUCGCAUAGGCUUUUGGAAACCCCAGAAUGAUAGCAGCUCAAAUCUCCAGACACUCUUAAGAGUUUGAAGAUUAGGCAGUCUGCCCAAUAUAUCUGGAGUGCCACUACUAGGGUGUAAGGCUGAUAUGAAAAUGAGAUUUUUCGGAGAGCUGCAAUAAUUAUUGGGAGGUGCAGGCAGAGUGAUGGAACCGAAGUUCAGAUGCAUGAGCUUUUGCAUCAGAUUCCGUUUGGAUAUAACUGGAUGUCAUAACGCCACUCCAUAUCCUCAAAAGUCCGUAGCCUUUGUCUCAACUCUAUCUGGGGCCAGUGUAAGUCCAAUUUGUGCAAGCUUUUAUGCACGAUAGCUCUUCUGGAAGCUUCCUCAAGUAAGCACAUGGGUUGACAAUUAAGGUUUCAAGUUUUGGCAUUGCUCCAGCCCCCAUCGUCCACUCAUCUAGCCAAUACAUUGAUUUCAGGUGCAAAACCUUAAGUUCCGGAAAGCUACACGAGCCAACACAAGCCAGCUUUCUUCCUAAAUACGAGUUCUGCUUCAGUUUCAACACUUGAAGGUGUGGAAGCUUUUCCAGCAUUGGCAUGGGAUCCUCCAUUAGCUCAGUAUUUGAUAAGCUCAGAUGGCUCAGACUUAAAGGAAAUUGGUAUUCAGACAGGACAAUCCGUGAGAGCUUGCUCUCAUUCACCAGCUUCAAGCGUUCAAGUUUGUGGAGUUCGCAUAGGCUUUUGGAAACCCCAGGGUGAUAGCAACUCAAAUCUCCAGAUAUUCGAAGAGUUUGAACAUUAGGCAGUCUGCCCAAUAUAUCCGGAGUACAACUACUAGGGUGUAAGGCUGAUAUGAAAUUGAGAUUUUUCAGAGAGAUGCAAUAAUUUUUUGGAGGUGCAGGCAGAGUGAUGGAACCGAAGUUUAGAUGCAUGAGUUUUUGCAUCAUCCAAAUAUCCUCUGGUGACUGAUCUAUGUAGCUUGAUGGCAUUUCUAGUGUUUGAAGGUUUAAAAGGGUGCAUAGCAGUGAAGGAAGGCAUUUGAGCGAAGGGAUAUUCAAUUUCAAAUACUUCAAAUAGAAUAAAUUUUCUAAUCCAGGUGGAAAG